UCAAUUUUAGAAACCUCCUUGCAUGGAUGCAUGGGCAAUGCUUUGGGUCUUAGGAAUGAUGCAAUCCACUUCCAAUUCGUGUCUAAAGUGUAAUGAAUCCAUCAUGUGGAAGCAUGCAAAAGAAUUUGAUCAUUUGAAAUCCAAUCUUGCUAAAACACUUCCCAUAAUGAAGUCAUGCACAAGUCCCUCAAUUUUGAUCCAAAUGAGAUGAUCUUGGAUGUUUUGGAAAGGUGAGAUCAAGGGGAACAACUUUCAUGUUGAAUAAUUUUUCAUUUUAAGUUUGGAUCAUGAUGAAUGUUGAGGUGGAAGUUUGGGAAAUCAAAAAUAUUUGAAAAUUUUCUAAGUCCCAAGUCAAAUGUUCACUUCUUCCACCUUGAAUAACUUUUUCUAUGGACUUUAAAUGAGAAACGUUUAUUCACCAAAGUUGUAUAUCUUUCAAAUCUCUUAAUGUUUGUCACAAAUUUGACCUCAUUUGAAUUUGGCAUGAAGGAGUUAUGCAUUUUAGAAGUUGAGGAAAAUCACUUGUUCAAUGGUAAUGGCCCAAAAUGACCUAUAAUGUUUCCUCUUGGCACAUGCAUUUACAAGUUGAAUUUUUACUUCCUCCAAACAUCAAAGUUGAAUUAUACAUAUUAAAUUUGAUCAUUAAAUUUUAAUGGCUUUCAUAUAAUAAAAAUUGAGCAAGUUAUGGUCUUCUGAAGUUGACCUCCAAACUAGGGUUCAGACAGAAUGACCUAUAAUCUUUCACCAUAAAAAAAUACUUUCCAAGAAACAAUAGCUCUAGACCUAAACAUGAAAGUUGUUUGUAAUUUCAUUUAGAGUAACUUUUCUAUUGUAAUUAUUUUCACAUGAAAAAAAUUGUAGGAGAUAGGGUCUAGGGAACCCCCGUUUCGACCAGUUGACUUUCUCUGGUCAACCACCAAGAACUAACUUGCUAACUUGAUAUUCUCUUGACUUUUGGGGCUCAUGGAGGAUCAUAUAUGCAUAAGAUGAUGUAAUGUGAAGUAUCCCUUGAGAUAUUUGAUCAAUUGUUUAAGAAACUUGUUGAAGAAGCCACAUAAGAUACCCAGAUGAAUUAGGGUUUCCAAGUCAAACAAACUCCAAACUCUUGAUGAUUUCUUGAUCAAAAUAACAUGUGAAGAUCAUGGGAUCCAUAUAUGAUGCUUAGAUCUUAUUUGAACCAUUUCUUGAUUGAGAUCCUUGCAUUGAGGGUCUUAGACCCUAUAUAUGAACUUCAUGGAGCAUAGGUGAGCAUACACACUACCAACAAAAGCAACAAACUAUACAUUGACAUAUUUUUGGUAUUUUGGUUAGUAAAUAAAGAAAACCAAAGUAUCAUACAACAUAAAGUGCUUGGUGACCUCUCUGUAACACCCCAAAAUUUGCCCUCCUCAUUCAUGCAUUCAUUUAGCAUUUCAUAUUGCAUUUCAUCAUGUCAAUCAGAAUUAGAUCCAAGAAACUUUAAAAAAAAUAAAAUAAUAAAAAAAAAGAAUGAAAAUAAAAUAAAAUAAAAUAAAAUAAAUAAAAUAAAUAAAUAAAUAAAAAUAAUAAUAAAAAAAUAAAUAAAAUAUAAUAGAAAAACUUGGACUUGGACCUCUCUCAUUUGAGCCCACAAAGCCAUGAAAAUCAGGUUAUAAAAGAGGGAGAUGAGGACAAGAAAAGGAAGAGAAGCAAAAUACUCUGAGGUUUCCUUGAAAAAACCUUGCAAAAUGGCAGAGAAACCUGACAGAGAACUCAGAGCAACCCCCAGGCAGCUCUGAAAAAUUCAAUCUGACUCACACACUUUAAUUCUCACGCAAACCCUAACAUUGCCUUGCCAACCCAGCCGUGCCUUGAUUUCAACCGGUCUCCCCAUCAGGUUUGCCUCAUUCCCAUGAUUUUAGUGCUCUUAAUUGGAUCAUCUGAAUGUAGAGGUAUGAUGGAUGAAUUUCAUUAUGUUUUGCCCAUGGUUUAAUUAUGCAUGAAUGGGUGAAACCUAUGCCUUGAAUGUUUAAUCACAUGAUUUCUGAAAUGUAUGCCACAGGGUUUGAGGUUUCUGAAACCAUACUGUUAUCCAUGAAAAAAAUGUUUAUCGUGUGUUCACUAACCCUUUCGUUGAGUUUUUGGAGGGCUCACAGACUCUUGCAGAGAUGGUUUGCGUGGUUUUCCCACUUUAUUUGUGGGAUACCCCCUAGAGGUUCAUUCCGAUUACCUGUACUGACUCACCUUUCUUUGAUGGCAUUAGCUUGGGAGAUCCCUGGGUUUCCUACUCCUUUAAUUGCUGUUACUCCGGAUCUUUAUCCGUGUGGUACUUUUACCUCUUUUCCGCAUUUUAUCGCUUUCUUAGCUGGAAGACCUCGAUAGGAGGCAUUUGUUUUCUAUUGUUUAUCUACUUCUGAGCCCCUUGUUGGCACAUUAACUUUAUACAUGUUUGUUUUGUAUGUGUUCGUAUCCCUGCAGGUAGCGCGGUUCCUUCGUCAAGGACUGCCCUUUUUGCCCUUGAGCAUCCCAAACCCUAAAACCCAAAGCAACACAUUAACUCCUUCUACUACAGGCGAGCAAGUCUCCAAAGGUCGAGCAUCCGGUAGAUUGCGUAGUGACGUCGUUCGUCCCAAACCCAAUCCAUAACCCCAUAGUUAGCCGAACUACGUUUUGCUCUGAUUCUCAGGCCAGAUGAGAUACGUAGGCAUAAGACGCGAUGUCUUAGCGAGCACAAUUACCCUUAACCCUAGGUAGCCGAGUACGAAGACUCUGAUUCUCAUAUUCAGAUGAGAUACGUGUGCAGUGAUGCGACAUGCCGCGCGAGUCAUUUUCAUUUAACCCCUUUUUUUUAGUAAUAACACAAUUAGAUAACCCACACCCUUUAGACAAGAACUACAAAAGUGGAUCCCGUAGAGUACUACGGAUGCGUAGGGGUGCUAAUACCUUCCCUUCGCAUAACCGACUCCCGAACCCAAGAUUUGGUUGCAAGACCCCGUCUUGUCCUUUCCUUUUUCAGGUUUACUUCGAGCGUUUCCUUUCCCUCCUUUGGGAUUAAUAACGCACGGUGGUGACUCUUCUGUCAUUUUCUUUCGCCGGUUGUUUUUUCGCGCACUGUAUUUUUUCAGGUUGCGACACUCUCCCAAUGCAAACCCAAUGAAUGAAGGUAAAGAGGAUGCCAAGGAUCCAAAUGCCAAUGCAUAUGAUGAGAUGGCAUGAGGGAUCUUAGGGUCAAAAUUGGGGUCUUACAACAACCCCUUUUUAAGGGCGUUCUAGCUGAGGAGAUGAAGGUUAAAAUCUUCAUAUUGAGUCAGCAGAAUGGACUUAAAUAACAAUAAUAGAAACAAAUUUUGGUCCCUAAGAGACCUCAUGAUGCAUAUGAUAUGAAUGCUAAAAAUAUUCUUUAUGGGGAAAAUAUUGCCACAAAGGAAAAGAAUCUAGAGAGACUGAAAGUCCGUAGGAGUAUAAUGCAUUUCGUAAGGAAAACUCACUGGGGAGACAGUGACUCUAGGGGAUAAAAAGUUGUGCGUAUGCCAGGCUACGACUUAAAACUAUUGGGGGACAUGAGAGAUUCCAUGAAAAUAAAUCAAUGGAAAGACUCAACCGGGGAUAAAAGGGAAAAUUUGUAGGGGACACAGGUAAAUCAGAACAAAGUUGAAAUCCUUGAACCAAACAGGAAAUGGUGAUUUCACUGAGGAAAUACACACUCGAACUCAACUGGGGAAGAAAAGAUCUUCGAUGCAGGAGUAACGGAAGUAUAUUAUCCACUAUCGGUCACUGGACAAUGAGAUAAAAUUAUCUGACAGCGGAGACAUCUGUUAUCGAUUAGGGUAAACAUAUCAAGGAUGACUUGCUGAGGGCAACAGAAGGUGUAUUCAUUACCAGUUAAUGGGAAAGAAUAACCUAUUUGGGAGAAGCCAAAUAGAGUUUUCAGUUACCGGUUAUUGGGCAGAAGACCUCAAAGAAAGAGAAUAUUCAUCACUGGUUAAAGUGAACAUAUCAAGGAUAGACUAAAAGGGAAGAAUAUCCGUCAUCAUUUAAGAUGAAUAUAUCAAGGAUAGACUGCUGGAAAAAAGUAGGAAUUACAUCUAUGAGUUACUGGAUAGAAUACCAGAGAGAGAAUAUGCGUCAUCAAUUAAGAUAAACAUAUCAAGGAUAGACUCCGAGGGAAAAGCAGGAUUUACGACUACCGGUUACUGGGCAGAAAACCAUAAAGAGGAGGAAAUUCGUCAUCGGUUAGGAUGAACAUAUCAAGGAUUAACCCUAUCGGGAAUGAAAUAGGGAUUACAACUACCUUUUUAUUGGGUAGAAUACCAAAACGAGAAUAUCUGUCAUCGGUCAAGAUGAACAUAUCAAGGAUAGACUCAGAAGAGAAAGGAUAUCCGUCAUCGGUUAGGAUGAACAUAUCAAGGAUAGACUUCCUGAGAAACGUGAAAAUGAAUCUGCUGGGAAAAAAUAAAGGAAGUAGAUUACUUUUACCGGGUAUUGGGAAAAAGUAAAGUACUCACAAAUCGAGAAGAAUAUUACCAUUUACUAGGUGACAGACUCUCGGGGGACCAAGGUAUCUAUCUAGGCAAGGUCUAGAAAAAAGGUCAAUUAAGGACUCAACCCAAUGAGGAUAUAACUUAGGGGGAGUGGUUCCAUCCAGAUAAUCAACUGGGAGGAAGAUGAAAUAAUGAUCAUCCACGAGGAAAUAACUCAAUGGGGAGUGAGAAAGGUUAAAUUCUUUCUGCUUAAGAGGCUAACACUCUACAAUUGAGGGAGGACGGACACACCAAAUCUGCAUGGGGAAAAGGAUACCACCAUAGCAGAGGAUCGAAAAAGAAUUAAUCACAAAAUGCAAUAAUAAUGCAAUAAUGAAAUCUAUGAAUGUAUAUUUAUAUGUAUAUAUGAUGAUUAUGCUGACAACACAAUCACAAGGAUACAAAUGUCAAGGAUCUGAAUCCUCGUUACAACACUCAGCCAAUCUCAACAGGAUGGAGGCAUCGGCUGGAGAAAAAGAGUUGCUAAGGAUGAACAAAAAUCAUUUGUCUCGAGGGCUCGAUUCUGGCUAGGGAAAGAGGACAAAUUGCUAAGGAUCUGCAUCAUCAACUCUGCGAGGAAUUUUAGGCCAACAUCAUAUCAAAUGGGAGACAACCUUGCAGAGGACCAGAAACAUUGCUCAAAAAUUAGUGCUGAUAUGGAUUAGAGAUAACUCCGCUGGCGACCUGAGGGGAAACAUAAUCUGUAAUGAAUCUAUGCAAAUCAUUGAGAUAACGCGCCUUCAACCCGAGGGGGGCGAUUACAAACUCAGUUGGCAUACCAACAAAACUCGGCUAGAGAUGUGGGGUUGCCAUUCAGAAAAGAUGACCGAACCAACUGCUUGGGGAAAACCAACAAUGCUUCGCAUUUUAGGACUUACCUUUUCUCAGACCGCUGUUGAUGUUCCUUUAAUGGAAUCGAUUGCUCUUAAAAGUAAUUGCUUUUAUUAUUUUAAGAAAACAUGAUUUUGAUUUUUAAAUUUAAUUUCAAAAUGAUCAUAAUAAAAUUUAAUUCUAUUUAGCUGAAUAAAUAAGAGUAGAAAUAAUUGGAUAAAAAGUUUAACUUUAUUUAAUAGAAUGGUAGUCUGUAAAUGACAAGACUCUGCGGAUCUUUACAAAAGUUGAAAGAUGGUAAUUUACAUGGAAAAAGGCUACAUUGAAUACAAUGAUCACUAAUCCUUCUACCAAUUUUGAUAUCCACUGUGCUCCUUAGCUUCGGUUGAGAACGACGAAUUAGAACCCAAUGACGUGCUCAAGAAUAUCUUCAAGACUGAAGAUCAUCAGGAUGCAACUACUUGCCAUGAUCCCUAAUUUUUGCAUAAAUUUCCCCAAGGUGGGUACUCAAUUUAUCGGGAUAUAUUUUUCUAUUUUAUGUCUCUAAUUUUUGCCUGGAUCGCCCUUUCAGGUUUUCAAUCCACCGAGACGCUCAGUUUUGCCUAAGCCGCCCUUUCGGGUUUUCAACUUAGCGAGUUGUUCCUUUUCUUUUUUAGGCGAAGCAUUUCUUGACUGCAUUGGCAUUCACAGGACGCAUGAACUCUUCACCAUCCAUAGUUGUAAGAAUCAAAGCACUGCCUGAAAAGGCUCUCUUAACAACAUAUGGGAUUUCAUAAUUAGGAGUCCAUUUGCCCUAGCGUUUGGUUUGAAAGAUAAAAUCUUCUUGAGCACAAGGUCACCUUCUCUGAACACGCGAGGUUUGACCUUCUUAUCAAAAGAUUUAUUCAUUCUCUGCUAGUAUAACUGACCAUGGAACAUGGAAGUCAACCUCUUUUCUUCAAUUAAAUUCAGCUGGUCAAACCUGGUCUGACACCAUUCAGCUUUUGUCAACUUGGCUUCCAUCAGCACACGCAGUGAUGGGAUUUCAACCUCUAUCGGGAGCACAACUUCCAUGCCAUAAACAAAUGAGAAAGGGGUUGCCCCUGUUGAAGUCCGGAUGGAUGUUCGGUACCCGUGCAAAGAAAAUGGGAGCAUCUCAUGCCAAUCUUUGUAUGUCACAACCAUCUUCUGGAUGAUCUUCUUAAUGUUCUUAUUUGCAGCUUCAACAACCUCAUUCAUCUUUGGUCUAUAGGGAGAAGAACUAUGAUGUGAAAUCUUGAAGUCUUUGCAAAGGGCUUCCACCAUAUUAUUGUUCAAGUUAGAUCCAUUAUCAGUAAUGAUCUUACUUGGCACACCAUACCGGUAUAUAAUAUGAUUCUUGAUAAACCUUACAACAACGUUCUUGAUUACAUUCGCAUACGGUGCCGCUUCAACCCACUUUGUGAAGUAGUCAAUAGCCACUAGAAUAAAACGAUGUCUGUUUGAAGCUUUGGGCUCAAUCAUGCCAAUCAUAUCAAUUCUCCACAUGGAGAAGGGCCAUGGAGAGGAAAUGACAUUCAACAUCUUAUCUACAUAUAUUUGACACUUGUGGCAUUUCUUCACAAACUUGCAACAGUCAUAUUCCAUUGUCAGCCAAUAGUAACCUGCUCUCAACAUCUUCUUAGCCAUAACAUGUCCAUUGGAAUGAAUGUCAAAGGAACCUUCAUGGACUUCAAUCAUCAAUAAGUCUGCUUCGUGUCUAUCCACGCAUCUGAGCAAAACCAUGUCGAAGUUUCUCUUGUAAAGCACAUCACCAUUCAGGCAGAAGUUGCCACCUAAUCUCCUCAAAGUCUUCUUAUCUUUCAAAGAUGCCCCAGGCGGGUAAAUCUGACUUUGGAGGAAACACUUGAUAUCAAAAUACCAUUAUUUUUCAUCUUUGAACUCUUCAACAGCAAACACAUGAGUUGGCCUAUCAAGAUGCAUUACAGUCAAAUUGGGAACUUCAUUCCAGAAUUUCACCAUAAUCAUAGAAGCCAAUGUUGCAAGAGUAUCUGUCAUCUGGUUCUCAUCUCAAGGGAUAUGAUGAAACUAAACCUUUGUAAAGAAAGUUGAUAUCCUCCUCGUAUAAUCCCUAUAUGGUAUCAAACCGGGUUGAUUCAUCUCCCAUUCACCUUUGAUUUGAUUCACAACCAAAUCUGAAUCUCCAUAGACGUCAAGAUAUUUGAUGCUGAGCUCAAUGGCCUCUUCAAGCCCCAUAAUGCAAGUUUCAUACUCAGCCAUAUUGUUCGUACAUUUGAAAGUUAAUCUAGCUAUGAACGGAAAAUGAGUGCCUUGAGGAGUAAUAAUCACUGCCCCAAUGCCAUUACCAUACUGAUUAACAGCUCCAUCGAAUACCAUGCCCCAACGGGAACCAGGUUUUGGCCCUUCUUUAAGCAAUGGUUCAUCACAAUCUUUCAUUUUCAAGUACAAGAUCUCUUCAUCAAGAAAAAUCACACUGCACUAACUGAUAAUCUUCAAUCGGUUGGUGAGCAAAAUGGUCAGCCAAGGUACUACCUUUAAUUGCUUUUGAGAUCGAUAUUCAAUAUCAUACUCUGAUAACAACAUCUGCCAACGGGCAAUCCUCCCAGUUAAAGCAGGCUUCUCAAAAAUUCACUUGAUUGGAUCCAUUUUGGAUAUCCACUAAGUAGUAUGAUUCAACAUAUACUGACGCAGACGCUUAGCAGCCCAAGCUAAUGCGCAACAAGUCUUUUCUAGCAUAGAAUACCGAGUCUCAUAGUCGGUUAACUUCUUACUGAGGUAGUAAAUUGCAUAUUCUUUCUUUCCAGUUUCAUCUUGCUGACCAAGAACACAACCCAUACUUUCAUCAAGCACAGUCAGAUACAAGAUCAACGGUCUUCCUUCAAUAGGCGGAGACAGAAUCAGAGGUUUAAGCAGAUACUCUUUGAUACUAUCAAAAGCUUUUUGGCAAUCUUCGGUCUAAUCACAAGAUUGAUCUUUCCGAAGAAGCUCGAAUAUAGGCGCACAUGUGGCAGUCAUAUGCGAUAUGAAUCUUGAGAUAUAAUUCAAGCGGAGGAGAAAACCUCUGACUUGCUUCUCAGUUUUGUGCGCAUGCAUCUCUUGUAUUUCUUUAACCUUGGCAGGAUCAACUUCAACACCCUUCUCGCUGACGAUAAAGCCCAACAAAUUGCCAAAACGAACACCAAAUGUACAUUUAUUGGGAUUCAAGCGGAGUUUGUACUUCCUCGAACACUAGAAUAGCUUCAAAGAAUUCUCAACAUGUUCUUCUUCAUCACUUGAUAUGGAAAUCAUAUCAUCAACAUAGAUUUCGAUCUCUUGAUGCAUCAUAUCAUGGAAAAGAGUGGUCAUAGCUCUCUGGUAAGUUGCACCGGCAUUCUUUAGACCGAAAGACAUCACUCUAUAAUAGAAUGUUCCCCAGGGUGUAACGAAUGUGGUCUACUCCAUAUCCUUUGGUGCCAUCUUGAUCUGAUUAUAACCGGAAAAUCUAUCCAUAAACGAAAAUACUUUGAAUUUAGUUGUAUUGUCUACCAACAUAUCAAUGUGUGGCAGAGGAAAAUCAUCUCUCGGACUAGCUUUAUUCAAAUCUCUAUAAUCGACACACAUGCGGACUUUUCCAUCCUUCUUUUGAACAAGCACAAUAUGGGCCACCCACUACAGAUACUCAGCGGUAACAAGGAAACCAGCAUCAAUCUGCUUCUACACUUCUUCUUUGAUCUUUACUGCCAUAUCAGGGUGAGUCCUCCUCAAUUUCUGCUUGACUGACGGGCAUUCUGGCUUCAACAGCAAUCUAUGUUCCAUAAUCUCAUAAUGUAAACCAGACAUGUCUUGAUAGGACCAGGAAAACACAUCUGAAUACUUUCGAAGAAGAUCAAUCAACCCCUUUUUAAGCUCUGAACACAGUUGAGACCCAAUCUUGACUUCCUUCACAUCAUCUUCGGAACCCAAGUUGACUAACUCAAUUUGCUCUUUAAAUGGCUGAAUGGCUUUUUCCUCAUGCUCAAGUAGACGAGAUAAUUCAUUAGAUACUUCUUCAUCAGUCUCCUCCUCAGCCCCAAACACAGGGAAUUCAAAGUUUGGAGAGGGAGUAGGAUCAUUGUAUUCAUGGGUUUAGAAACCAACCUGCAUAAUGAUUUGAUAUUUUAUUUUAGAGAAGUGAAUUAUGACCAAAUAUCAUUCAGAUAGACAAUUAUUAUUUACUUAUGUAUGUUUUUUAUGAUUACCAUUUUCAGAAAAGAAAAAAGUAAAAAUAAAAACAUCAUAGAUGUAGAUGAAUAAAAUUGCAUUUUAUUGAUGAUAAUUGAGAAAUGCCCAACAAUAUUCACUUCCCCCUUCGGCAUAGGAGAAUGAUUUUUCUUAAAAUAAUGGAAAAAAACAAAUUACUUAGAGCUAUGGACAAUAACGGGAACAUCAAUAGCAACCCAAUUGUUGCAAGCCCUUCCACGCGUCACAAAAUUGGUGCAGUUUUCCUCUUCAUCACCCUCGAUUACGGCAGCUGAGUGUUGUUCAUUAUCAUGGACGAAACCUCCGCUACGGAAACUCGGUUGCAUAACUUCAGCUUUAACAUGAGAUGACCCUUGCUGAAAUCCCAAUCCGGCUCUGUUCUUGUUCUCGGCGACCUCUACCAUAUGGCCUCAUUGAUCUGUGCUACCAUCUUCAAUAGUUUUCUGCGCAUCUUUAAAAUAGGACAUGGGUGCCCCUGACAAGCUUGUCAUUCUUCACAAAUUUCAAUUUCUGGUGCAGAGUGGACGUCACAGCUCCAGCCUCAUGGUACGAUGGCCUUCCCAAAAAGCAGCUAUAGGCCGGGUGGAUAUCCAUUAAUUGAAAAGUAAUUUGGAAAUCACUCGGACCUGUCUUCACUGGAAGGUCCACUUCUCCUAUAACAGGCUUGUGAUAUCCAUUAAAUUCCUUAACAAUCACGCCGCUAUACCUCAUCGGGGCGCCUUGCUAGGAUAAUCUUGACAGAGUUGAUUUGGAGAGUACAUUCAAAGAUGAACCAGUAUCGACCAACACAUUGGACAAAGAGUCCUCCUUAUAAUUCAUCGAUAUAUGCAGCGCCAAAUUGUGAUUUCUACCCUCCUUAGGAAGUUCUUCAUCAUAAAAGCUCAAGUUAUUGCUGAAGGAGAAUUGCCAUCCAAGGCGCAGCGGAAUUUAAAAAUUUCUCCAUUUAGUGAUCCUUACGAAUGGGCAUGAUCAGUGAUAGAAUCGUUACCUCUUGUGGCGAUUCAAACCUUUGAUGCAGACAGAGUUUCUGAUAAUGAUCAAAACCUUUGAUACAGAUCCACGGGCGAUCACGAACGUUGAACGAUGACAACGUCUCUACUCAUCCACACGAACGGAUUCCUUCAAUCGCAGUGCUAGCUGUUAUGAAUGAAGGCUUUGAGUGAGAGAGAGUACGAAAUUCCAACUCUUCAGUUGUGUGCUGUCUCAGUGAGUGACCAUGCUUCUACCCAAGCGGUUCUAUUUAUAGAACCACUUGUGUGGGCUUCAAGCCAAAAAGCCGACUUAAGUGCAUUUUGGCCCAUAGCUCAUAAAUGCCAAAACACUUAAGUAUUUGGUACUUACCAUAUUUCGUAUUCUACUUAAGUACACCGUACUUACGAUGUUCCUUAAUUAUUCUAUCUCUCAUCAAUCCGUCCUUGUGUGUGACCCUAUAGUUUUCGCGGCGUUGGCAAUUAUAUUAAAUCACGCAUUUAACAUAAAUAAACAGUGAGCGGUAUCUAGCACCACAUCACUGCUACCAAGUCACGAAAAUGUCAUGUGAUCUGACAAAACCUCCUGUGAUAAUAAUCAUGUGUAUAAUUCCCUUUGCCUUAUGUCUAUAUUGAGCACAAGGUAUAGACCGUGUCACCCUUGUCCAGUUCAAUAUUGGGCCCAUAGACAUUUAUCCUGUACGCAGGAUUGGCAAAUUCCAUCUAGACACUCAUGUUCCUCAGCAUGCUUCGUGGAGUACCCAUCAACUGUCUUAUGGUUAUCCAAUUACGGACAACGUUGGAUCAGCAAUAAAGCACUCGACUCUACAUCUAGGAUUCAUAGUGGUUUCAGGUCGAAGAUGGUAUACACUAUUAUCACCAUGGAAUACCUUAUGACACUUUGCAUAACUUUCUAUAUAGUAUUCUCAUAGCGGUCAAUCUCGGUAUAAUAUUACUCCUAAUAUUCAUACCUAUGUUUAAGACUUGAUAACUCUUUAUCCAUGAUCCAUGAGAUGUGAUCACAGUCUACAAAUAUAAUAGUCUUAAUGCUUUAAUGUUAUCCACUUCACACUAAAGCUCGACUACAGAUACUUUAAGAAUAGUGUCCUUAUGUUUAAUGUGUUCUCAUGAUUAAGUCACACUUAAUACAUUAAAUGGACUACCUAUUCCAGGGACUUUAUUAAUCAACCAUAAUAAAGAAGAUGCGCUUUUAUUAUUAAUAAAUAAUUCGAUACAGUACCAAAGUAUUGGCCUCUAGGGCUUAUACAACAAUCUCCCACUAGCACUAGAGCCAAUCAGACAUACCCCAUAUGCCAUCGAUCUAUUAUGGCCAUCAUGCUUUUGCUGCGCAAGAGGCUUUGUCAGUGGGUCAGCUAUAUGUCAAGUGAGACUUUACAUAUUUCACACAACGUCUAAGUAUGUGUUGGAUCGUUGGUAAGUCUAGGCUCCUUAGCUUGUGCGAUAACACCAUUGUUAUCAUAAUAGAGACCAAUGGGAUCCAUAAUGCUAGGGACUAUGCCAAGUUUAUUGAUCCAAACAGCUUCCUUUACUGCACUUAAGGCAGCAAUAUGCUCGGCCUCAAUUGUAGAAUCAGCAACUGCAUCUUGCGUUGAACUUUUCAAGCUCACAGUGCCACCAUUUAAGCAAAACACAUAACCAGAUUGGAAUCAUUCAUAUUAAAGCGUCCCAGCACUUUGUCUAUGUACUCUGACUUAGGCCAACAUUUCAUGAUCUAUCUCUAUAGAUUCUGAUAGUUUGCUUCACCCAGGUCCUUCAUAGAAAAGCAUUUCCCUCAACCAAGACUUACUUGUUGCAGGUAGGAUAUCGAUUCCAAUGAGUAAUCUGUCAUCUACAUAUAAAUACCAGGAAUACGAUUAUCUCCCACUAACCUUCUGUAGACAAGGCUCAUCUUUGUUCUUGAUGAAUCAUACAGUUUUACUGUUUCAUCAAGGGAAGAUUCCAUGAGUAGGUCACAGGCUCAUCUUGAUCCAUGAGUAAUACAUCACCUUGAUCAGAUAUCCAUAUAUCUCAGGUAGGUGACGUAUCCUGCCUGACCUACAUUGGUCUUGUCUACUUGAGCAGGUUGCUUUUACACAACUACUUGUGUUCCUGCUCUAAUUCCUCCAUAGGUGUAUCGAUGCUUUGUGAUUCUUGAAUUUCUUCAAGCUCUACUUUCCUCCCACUGGUUCCUUUGGAAUUAAAAUCCUUUUCUAGGAAAACUCCAGUUCGAGCGACAACACUUUGCCCCCGAAGGAUUGUAGAAGUAAUACCUCUUGUUCUUUAGGAUACCCCCAUAAAUAAGCAUUGGUCAGAUUUGGGCUUAAGCUUAGUUGAAAUUUGUCGUUUCACUAAACUUCGCAACCCAAAUCUUCAUGUAAGACAUAGUGUGGUCUCUACCACUCCAUAUCUCAUUGGUGUCUUUUCAACCUUUUGGAUGGAACACGGUUAAGUUGUGUAAGCUGAUGUCAAUGGUGUAUGUCCUCAAAAGAAGUUUGGAAGAUUGGUGUGACUCAUCAGUGGAUCGGACCAUGUCCAACAGGGUUCGAUUUCUUCUCUCAGAUACACCUUCCAUUGGGGUGUUCCAGGAGGAGUAAUUGGUAGGUCCCACACCUCUUUCAGAUGGUCAUCAAACUCUAUGGAUUAAAUACUCAUCACUUCGAUCUGAUCGAAGAGUUUUAAUAUCUUACCUAGUUGGUUUAACUCGUUAGUUUCACCCUUUGUAUUAAUGUUAUUAAGAGGCAUUUCAAGAUCAAGACAUAUAGUCCAUUGUUAUUUGUGCAGUAGCAUAGAAUAUAUCAUUCAAAUAAUUGAGCAACAUUGUUCUUUAUUAUAAAAUGGAAAAUCAAACUGUCAAACAAGCAAUGAAAUAAUCCUGCUAAUUGCAGGUACAUAAUAACAAUUCUCAACUGAAUUAUAAAGCCCCAUAGGAAAGUCAAUACAAAGUUCCUACGGCUAAAGCAGCAACCUUUGCUCCAUAGCCAACUCGUAGGUCGACUUCACCUUUGCCAAAUCUCUACUCCUUUUUAGUUUCCUGCACAUUUGUACAAAUGUGAGAACGCAUCCAGAGUAUCUAACCCAUGAUCCAGAAGUAGAUAAUUAAAUAAAAAUACCUGAAGUUGAAGUCUCUACCCAUUCUUCUUAUCUACCAGGUAUUGGGCAGUUCCUCUCCGUGUCGGGUCUUACCGCAAUGAAGCAGGUGUCUCUUUUACUAUGCCCCCAUCAGGCUUCAAGCAGCAGUGGUCUGGGAUUGGCAACUUCCUUCCCUUCCCUUAUCACUCUCUGCUUAGUGGGCCUUUUGUUCUGUCUCUUUCCAUUUCCGAUCAUCAGAAUGGACUUCCUUUUUGGACUUCAGAUUCUGCUCGCAGUUCUAACAUGGUGAGCACUUCAGGCAGGAUUGUCCAUAUCAAUCAUAUGAACUUUAGGAAAAUUGACUGAUACUAUCUGGCAAACGAUUGCAAGAUCAAAUCAGUUGCAAGUUCCUUUUCGAGGGGAAAACCCAAUCUCUCAAGUUUCCACAUACCCAUCAUCUUGAGUACAUGGGACCCUUACAGGGGCUCCCUCAGCUAACUUGCUUGAAAAAGGGCUUUUUGAAACUUCAAACCUCUCAUGCCUUGCUUGCUCUGAUAGAGCAACUUCAGGUGUUCGAUCAAUAUCGAACGCUGACAUGUUCUCAUGUUGCUUUUGCAAUUCUGAGUUCACUGGUAGCCAGCAUGAAACAAGCAGUUUCAUGGCACAUCGACAUGCUUCUUAAAGCAUUCUCUUUCUGCCUUAGGUGCCAGAACUAGGAGCCCCUCUUCAGGAACAGGGUCUCCAAGACAACAACUUUUUAUCAUGUUUUGAGGACAAUCCUCAGGUUUCGGUGUCCAAUCCAGAACAUUUGUCCAGACAAUUUUCCUUAUCAAGGAUUGAUCCAAGAUUUGUUGAGGUUUGCUGUUCAUGGUAAUCUAUACAAGGAUUAAUGAAAUAUAAGUAUCAUUGACAUUUAAUUAGCCUUUAAUUAAACAUGCUCCCACUUAUUUACUUCAAAACAAAUGACCCUCAUCAUCUGAUUCGGAAAAUCGCCGUUGGAAGAUUUUCUAGUGGUCGAGAUCCAUAUUUCACUCGUUCUAAAGUCCGCGUAGGCGAUUACACAAAACUAGGUAUUUAGGUAGGAACCCCUUCCAAUUGUAUCUCAUACAACUCUAGAAAAUUCAAUUGGGGUGAAUAACUCCUAUCCAAUCCAUCAUAUGGAUUAUCCAACUCUUGCUUCUAAACAUAUAUAAGAAAAUAUAAUCAAGUUGACUCAUGUUUUAGCAGUUGGAUAUUACAAUUAUCCAUCGCACCUUAACUAAUCAAAACAUGCACUCAUGCUAGUAGGCAAAACCUACAAUUUAUUCCGGACUAUCCGAUCCUUCGAUGAGUCCUAAAACUUGGAAAAGCCAAACAUAUAUAAACUCCNNNNNNNNNNNNNNNNNNNNNNNNNNNNNNNNNNNNNNNNNNNNNNNNNNNNNNNNNNNNNNNNNNNNNNNNNNNNNNNNNNNNNNNNNNNNNNNNNNNNAAAUUAAGAUCAUUCAUUCAUUUUGGGAGAUGGAAUGUACAUUCCAUCAAUCCCCUAAAUCCAAUGAUCUUAACCUAGAAAAGUCAAAUCAACCUUGACCAAGGCCCAACAACACAAGUCAAACUUACCAAAUCAAAUAAAAUGGCUCCCCACAAUUAUUUGGUAUUUAUUCAAUUUAAAAAAAUACUAAAAAUAAUGCAUUAAAUUAAAUAUGGUUGGUCAAAUUCCUAAAACCUCAUCAAAACACCAAAGAAAUGGCCAUGAGAUUUAUCAUAGGUUAAACAAGGUCAAAGGACCUUGGAGAAAAAUUUUCAGAAUUUUUGAAAACUUAAAAGUAUUUUUAAACAAUCAAAAAUAAUCACAAAAUCAAUUAAAUCAUGAAAAAUAUUAAUAAUGAUCCAAAAAAUAAUUUAAAUUCAGAAUAUGAAAGAGGAUUUUAUUUAAAUUUUUUUGGUGAAACUCUCAUAUUUUUUGGAUCAAUAUUAAAAUUAAUAUGAAUUAAUGAAAAUCAAAGGAAUAAAAUGAAAAUCAGAAAAUACAUAAAGAGGAUUUUAUUUAAAUUUUUUUGGUGAAACUCUCAUAUUUUUUGGAUCAAUAUUAAAAUUAAUAUGAAUUAAUGAAAAUCAAAGGAAUAAAAUGAAAAUCAGAAAAUACAAAAAAACGUGGACGACUUGAUCUCCCUCAUUAAUUGAGGUGGCAGAUCAAGUGGCCACAAACGCGCGUUCCAUGAUGGAACUCAGUCAGCGCGCCAUACAAGUGGUAAACAAAACCAACGCCUGUGAUUAAAAUAUUUUAAAUAAAAUCAAUGGCUCUGAACCACGCCACAUCACCUCUGGAGCCAAAGGCCAGUCACCUUCUCAGGCGAACCUCGUCGGACUGGUUCAAUCAUCACCAUGACAAAAAUGAAAAAGGAGGACAUGAUCUGAAAGAAAAAAUAGCGAAGAGCACGAAUCUGACCUCAAUUUCAACUAACUCCAAAUAUAUAGAAAGAUAUGAGGAGUUGAAUUUUGAGGUGUGUCAACUGAGUUGCUUCGAUUUGACCGCAAAGCAACUCAAUCUUCUUGCCUACAUUGGUAGGACUUCAGACAACCAAAUAUCCAAGAGAAUUGAUGAGAAUUGAGUGAGAAUCGAAGAGAAGAAGUUUUCUGAAAUUUCCUCCAUGCCAGGCCUGUUAACACCAUGCGCAGCCCUAGCAAACCUCAUCCUAAAUGAGUGAAUUAGGACUCUUUAGAAAGAUUAUAUCAAGACGAACAAUUCUCAUGUUGAACACUUUUCCAUUUGGAACUCGUAUCAUGGUGAAUUUUGAGGUGGAAGUUUGGAAAUUUCAACAUGUUGAAAAGUUUUCUAAGUGUCAAGUCAUAUACUUCAAUAUUCCACCUUACUUAACAUUUUAUGUGAGCUCCAAAUAAGAAAAGUGUCUUCAUCAAUGUUGUAGAUAUUUCAAAUACCUUCAAAAUUGUCACCAAGUUGAUAUCAUUUGGAUUUAGAAUGAGAGAGUUAUGCAUUUUUGAAGUUGUGGAAAAUCACGUGUUCAAUGGUAUUGGUCCAAAAUGACCUAUAAUGUAUCCUCAUAUCACAUGCUCAUAAAAGUUGAUUUAGAUCUCACUCCAAACAUCAAAGUUUAAUUAGACAUCUUGAAUUUUAUUUUUCAACUUGGAAAUCUUUCACCUUAUAAAAAUUGAGCAAGUUAUGGCCUUGGGAAGUUGACUUUAAAAUUAGGGUUUAGACAAAAUGACCUAUUAUGUUUCAACAUAGAAAGUGAUUUUCCAAUCUAAACUAGCUCUAGACCUCAACAUGAAAGUUGUUUGUAAUUUCAUUUAUAGUAACUUUUCUCUUGUAAUAAUUUUCAUAUGAUGAAAAUUGUAGGAGAUAGGGUCUACGGAGACCCAAUUUUGAUCAGAUGAAUUCAUCUAGCCAACCACCAUCAACCAACUUGCUAACUUGAAAUUAUCUUGACUUUUUAGGUUCAUGGUAGAUCAUAUAUGUAUAAUAUGAUGAAUUUUGAAGUGUCCCUUUGAGGAAUUUGAUCAAUUGGUGAGGAAGCUUGUUGAAGAAGUUACUCAAGAUACCCAAAUAAACUAGGGUUUCCAAGGCAAACCAACUCCAAAAUAUUGAAGAAACCUUGAUAAAAACAACAUGCAAAGAUCAUUGGGACUAAUAUAUGAUGCUUAGAGACAUUGUGGAUCAUUCCUUGGUUGUGCUCUUAGCAAUGAAGGUCUUAAACCCUAGAUAUGAACUUGAUAGAUCAAUGGUGAUCAUGCCCUUCCUACAAAAGAGUUAGGCAAAUAACAAAGACAUAUUUUUGGUAUUUUAGUUAGUGAAAUGAUAAUAUACAAGUAUGAUACAAUCACAUGGUACUUGGUGAUCUCUCCCAAAACAAACCCAAUGAAAAAGGGGUAAGGAGGAUGCCAAUGUGUGAUCCCAAUGCUAGUGCAUAUGAUGAAAUUGCAUGAGGGAUCUUAGGGUCAAAUUUGGGGUUUUACAGUGAGCAUCAUGGAUCCUCCAGAGAAAACCUUCCUUAUCACAUAUGGCCCUUCAUAAUUCGGAGUCCACUUGCCCCGGGGAUCAGACCGAGGGAGAAUAAUUCUUUUCAACACAAGGUCACCAGCUUGGUAACUCCGAGGAUGAACUUUUCAAUCGAACGAUUUCUUCAUUCGCUUUUGAUAUAACUGCCCAUGGCAUAUAGCAGCCAUUCUCUUCUCUUCAGUGAGAUUAUCGAAUAUGUUUUGCACCCACUCGGCCUCGUCGAGUUUUACAUCUGUCAUCAAUCUUAAGGAAGGGAAUUCAACUUCGACGGGUAAAACUUCCUCCAUGCCAUAGACCAAUGAAAACGGAGUUUCCCUAGUUGAGGUACAUACCUAAGUCCGGUAACCGUACAGAGCGAAUGGUAACAUCUCAUGCCAGUCCUUGUAGGUCACCACCAUUUUUUGCACUAUUUUCUUUAUGUUCUAAUUGGCUGCCUCCACUGCCCCAUUCAUCUUUGGACAGUAAGGAGAGGAAUUAUGAUGUUGAAUCUUGAAACUCUUGCACAACUUUGUCAUCAUAUUGUUGUUGAGAUUGGACCCAUUGUUUGUUAUGAUCUUCUCGGGGAUCCCAUAACGACAAAUGAUAUUGUGCUUGAUAAAAAGAGGUACCACCUGCUUAGUUACGUUGGCAUAGGAGGAAGCUUCCACCCAUUUGGUGAAGUAAUCAAUAGCUACUAGGAUGAAGCGAUGUCCAUUUGAAGACGUAGGCUCAAUGCAUCCGAUCAUAUCGAUAUCCCAUGUUCCGAAAGGUGAUCGAUAAAAUAGCAAGUGUACUAUUUUGCCAAUGUAGUAAUAAUAGGGAUGUUUCCUAAAUAUCGAUGUCGAGGACUACGUAGUAAUAUUAUUUUAAAACGUGUGGUUCAAUUCAACAAAACAGAAGUUUUAAGGUUUGGAAUAAAUCCGCACUAAUAUUGACUUAGGCAGAAUGCAAAAUAUAGCUUUUGCAGAAAUAUGAAAAUUAUGCCAAGGUACGGUGUGUGACUAUUUCCUGCAAUGACCUUGAAUGUAACUCUCCUCAACCAGUUUAAAUAUUCAAUUACCGGAUCUUAAAAUGUUUUCCUCCUAAAACCUUAGAGGGAAACCUUUGGUCAUUCAUUCUAAAACCUAAGUCCUUAGAGAAAUAUGAAGAAACCAAGUGUUUUCAAAUAAUGAUAUGUCUCAUGACUGUAUAUAAAAUAUAGUCUAUCGGGUACUUGACUGCAAGUGCACAGUCCAGUCGUUUUAGUUUUAAAAGAUAUCAAACCCACAAGGACCAAUGGUCAAACUAAUGCUACCACGUUACUAUGUUUAGCUAAGGGAACAAUUUUUAGAAGUUCGGUUGAAGAAAAUUAAAUCUAAGGAAAGUUAAGUUUUAAGAAAAUAGUAAUAGAAGGAUAUCAGUAUGCAACGCAGUAAUCGUCAGGGAUUCGAUAAGUCACCGGUGUAUAAUUUAAGUACCAAAUAUCUUGCAGUAGAAAAUACUUAUUUAAAAGGCUUUAUCUCACACUCUCGUGAUUGUUGAUUUGGACUAUACCUUUAAGUGAGAAUGUACGCUCUCGCUAUCCCAUUUGAAGUUAAAAAUACUUUUUGAAAAUAAAUAAGUUCUAAUUGCUUUUAAAGUGCUCUCGCUGUUUUUAAUAUCAAUGCCUAGUUUUUACUAUCCAGUUCAACCCUCACGCUCUCGCGAUUGUCGGUUCUCAGCUUAGUUAAUUUCCGACUCUCGUGGAAAAAUCGUAUUAAAUAGCUUCUCACUCUUGUGACAAAGUUAAUUAAAUUUAAAUUAAAAACCACAGCCAAAAAGAUUGUUUGAGGAAAGAAGUUUUACACCGAUUAUUAUUAAAUCUUGUCUAAUAAAUUGUUACAUAUCGAUAUCGAUAGUUUAGCCGGACAUGUUAAACAACGAAGACACAAACGAAGAUAAACAGAUCAACAAUAAAGAAAACAUGAUUACAAUAUUAAUAAAUCAAUAACAAUUUAAUAAAAACCUGGAAAUUAGAUUAAUAGAAUACGCCGAAUCUUGAAGUACAUGAGCAGUCCUCCAUAGGUCGGUAGGAUUCUGCCUCUUCGAAGUAAUAGCUUAAAUUAAAUUAAAUAAAUUGUAGUAGUUCCCUAGUGUAGGAAACUACUACUUUGGCUAGAUGAAAAGCGGAAAGGAAAAAGGGAAAAUCAAAGCUCUGAACGGUAAAAGAAAAUAAUGUUGCUGAAGAAAAAUAAAAGACAAAAAUAGAAUUGUUGUGAAAAAAUGAAGAUAGAAAAAGGUCUUCAAAGCUGGCUUCAGAGAGGAAAAAUUAAGCGUCCCCGUAGGUUUCCAACUUCCAUCCUUUUUAUAUCCCCCAUUAGGUCAUGGCAGUUGAGAGAAACAAGGAUGACUUGGUUGAGUGAGGAAUCCACGGGAAAGUGGCUGAGGAACGAGAAUUAAGGGUUUGUUGGAUCACUUCUAUUGACAGUUUCAAAGUGUUGAUUUUGGCCGCGUGACGUUUGUGAUUGGCUUGUGACGGUCGUGACAGGCUGGGUGUCACGGUUGUGACAUGCUUUGUGACAGUCGUCACAUUCACAAAGUUUGCAUUCUCUUUUUUUCUGUUUUUCUGCUGCUUUCUCUUUUGUUUCUUCUUCUUUUCCUUCCUUUUCUAUAUUUUGCUCAUUUAAGCAUGGGGAUUGAAAUACCUGCGAAAAUAACUCGAACACUUGCGGAAUAAUCGGAAUAUAAAUGAAAGAGGUACGAUUUUUGAGUGUAAAUCAAGGCAAAUAUACAAUGUAUUUUCGCGUUAUUAAACUCCCAUAAACUUGAAUCUUUGUUUGUCCUCAAGCAAAUAAAAUUUGAAAACACUAGUUAAACGCGAAUACAUAACACAUUUCCAAUUCGUACAUGGUUGUUAGGUGCUUCGUUAAGAUGACAUAUACUCAAGUAAAACACUAAAGAUAUAGUGACGACACAAGCAAUAACCAUUAACAUAGAUCUCUCCUUUGAUACAAACCAGUUCGAAUCAUGAUAUUAUAGCUCAACCUAAUGCUUCUCGUUCCUAUUUCACCCGGUUUCAUUCUAGCGCAAUCACAUUAAGCCCUUUGCCUUUACACGCACUUAAUGAAGUAGAUGGUUAGUGACUUUGAUCCUUUUUUAGCACGGGGUCUGGUACACUAGUGUGGUACCACUUCAUAUAUCCCAUUUGAAGGUUGUGGGGGAUCAACGUAGUUCGCCCUACCGAGUCUAGUACUAGGUACCUCUGAACCAACUAGUUGGGUUUUUCUGUUCCUUCCUUUUGUAUAUCUUACAACCGUUUGUAUGGUGCAUUUUUCAAUUUCUUUGGCAAAAGUAUGAAGGAUCUUCUUAAUUCGUAGGCAUCAAUCACUUAUAUUCAUCGGCUCUUCAUAUGGUUUGUGUUUAAGACAGUGUUGACUGCUAGUAUAAACUAUUAGGGGUUAAUCUAGAAUGGAGACUUUAGGUAUCGGUAUAAUGGGUAUUCAAACUGAUCUCGUAAAAGUGAGCGAUCUAAGGUGUCAGGAUGGUAUUAAUCUUGUUAGAUUUUUCUCAGUUUCCUAACAUUGUUAUGGCUAAAAACAGAAACAAGUAAAGGAAAGACAAGGAUUUCCUCCCACACUUAAACAAAGCAUUGUCCUCAAUGCGACAAUAUAAGGAAAAGGGAAGAAACACGAAGAUCACUACUCGCCGUCACGACGUUGGGCUCUGCGCACUCUAGCUCUUGCUCAUGCACGCUCACUUCUUCCACGCUAGGUAGGAUCCAACCCCACAUGCUAAGUGUACUCCUGGAUGGCAUCAACGCGAUGUGUCAGGGCACUCAUCUCUUCGGAAAGCUCCUCCAUCCCCUGGUUGUUCCAGUUCGCAUAGUCAUCUUGAUCCCUCUGUAUCUGCUGAACCGUUUGCAUCAUUUCUGUUUGGAACUCCUCCAUCCUCUGCUUGUGUUGCAACAUCUCAGCGUAGAUGUCUUCCAUGGUGGCAGGUCGUAGCUCAUUUCUUCGCCGGCCUCGGGAAGAUGUCUCUGCAGCAUACUCAGGAGGUGGUUGUGGCAUUUCUCGGUCAAGUUCCUCUUCGACUUCAUCUGCUCCAUUAUUAGGAUCUCCUUCAUUGGGCUCAGGAGCGUUCAAAUCAAAAAUCCAAUUCGCCAUAUUCUGCGGAUCUGUACGGUUCCCGUUGGGCAUAAUGAUGCUUCGAACUAUCUUAUUCCUAACCACAGGAUGGUACUUCCCGUCGUCUUUGGCCUUGAUGAGGUGUGAGGAAUGGCAAUAGUCAAUAUUGAGGAACUCGGCUGGCAAGGCGGGUCAGUCGGCGAGCCUAUCCCCCAGAUUCAGGCCUAAUGCUAUGGAGGUGAUGAUUCCUCCAAAACAGAAUGCCUGGCUGCCUCUCAUGCAUGUAGCCUGUAUGUUGGCCAACAAGAAUGGGGUGGCAUUGAAUGCCACCGGGGUGAACAUACAGUGAAGAAAUAAGAGCUCCUUAGAGUUUACCUUGUGAUUGUCAACUCUUCCGAAAACCAUGUGCCCUAAGACUCGGUGGAAAUAUCUUAUAGUUGGGUUGUGGAUGUAAGUUGCGUUGAGCGCAUCCCAGCUUGUGACGUUCAUGUUGGUAAGGCUAUGCCACACUCCAAAUUCUAUUUCUGACCAUCCGUCAAGGAUACAACAGUGAACUCCCUCUCCAUGUCGGAAGUCAAGCAUUCGUGCUAUUUGAGUUUGGUUCAGGGAAUACUCGGUAUCGAACAUUCUAAAUAUGGAGGCUCCGGUGAGAAACUGAGUUGCACCAGAAGGGGUAAUGUAGGAGAAUGAACUCAGGAAUUCCAAGGUCAGCGCCUCAUAAGUUGGUUGCGGGUUGGUGCAAAGUUGCGUCAAACUAGAGUUGUUCAGCAUCCAUUCUACGCCAUCUGAAAGUCCCAGCUCCGUCAAACAGUCGUUAUCAGCAUACCUCAUAGCUUGGACUGAACGUUGAUAGAACCUGAGGUAGUUGUCUCUCUGUCGCUCGCCGGAUUCUCCUUCUCUGAAUAUGAUAUUUGAGAGGCUGGGAGCAGCUCUCUCUUGACAGGCCAUUUAGUGUGCGAAUAUGAAAAUAUAGGUUUUGGUGGGAGAGAUGGAUUUCGUGAGUUAUAAGGUACUCACAUGUUUCUCGCUUAAAAGGAUGUGAAGAAAGGGUUAAUGGAGAAAAGAGUGGUAUGAGUGGGAUGGUUAAGUAAAGUAGAAUGAUUAGAUGAGGAAGAAGAAAGGAAGUGCGCCUGUUUUUAUAGGCGAGCCUUCUGGAUCUGUGACGAUCGUCACAGGGAUGUUACGGUCGUCAGACGUAACGGUCUUGCGUAACAGUCAUCUGCAAUGGUCAUCUGUGUGUAACGGUCAUAUAUUUCAUGUGUGACGGGCGUAGCGUUUCUGUGACGGGCGUCACGCCUCUGUGACGGGCGUAACACUGCAUGUGACGCUCGUCACAUGCAACGGUCACAACUUUUGCAAUCACGCCUCUAAUAACAUCUAUACUUCAUCCUUGACUAUUGUACUUAAGAUUUGGUUGAUCAUUCUCUGGUGUUCUCUAGAGGUUUUACAAUCUUCCUCUAGUAUAAUGUGAUGCAUACAGAUAAAAGGACUUAUUCCUUUUUGGUCAGCGAUGUUGUAGCCUAACGCAGUUGGAUAUUCUCUUAAGACAUCUAGUAACUUUUCAGUCAAACUUUUAAUUAUCCUCGAUUUCCAUGGACACUUAUCAAUCCAUCUCUCAUAUUUGUCACCUUUUCUUCUUUUUCUUCUGCGAGGUAAUUUAUCCUUCUGAACUUGUGGUGGUGGUUCUAGCUCUAUCCUGAGAGCUACUUUUUCAGGCUUAGGUUCAAUUUUUGCAUCCACCACCUCAAAGUCUGGUUUUCCCCUUUUAAUGCUAAUGAGUUCCCUAGUUUCAUGGUUUUCUAAUUUUCUCUUCUUGUUCAGGGUCUCAAAUAAAGGUGCAUUGGUGUGGAUAUUUUCCGAUAGCUCUUCAUAUCUUUCGGAUUUGGGGUCUACCUUGACUUCCACAGACCUUCGCGGGAAAGGAAUUUGGUUGAUUUAUAGGAGGAGGAAAACACAUAGUUCUUCCUUCUCUACCUCUUUGACAACCUCCCUCUUGGGUGGUGCCAGUGGUUCUUUCUUAAGCUCUACUCUUUUCUCACCUGAACCCUCCUCAUUAUCACUCUCCUUAGGAUUUUCGGUAAAUUUUUCACUGGUGAUUGUUACAACAUCUGCAUUUUCUCUGGGAAUGGUCCUAGAGAUGUCGCGUGGUAAGAAGGGAGAUUUAAGUCUCAAAUGCCUCAUUGCGAGUGACGAGGGACUCGACCACAAUGUUCAGUUGCGUAAGGGUUUCAUUGGUAUAGAGACUUUGUUUUCUAAAUUCUUCAUUCUGAAGAGUUUGUGUAGCCACAAAGCGUUCCAUCAUAGAUUCUAUCCUAGAGUGAGUUUGCAUCUCAAUGAAAUCCUCCAUUAAUAUUUCCAGGUUGGAUUUAUAGGAAUCUUACGAUUCCUCAAAAUACUGGGAGUGAUAAUCGUAGAGAAAGUUUGGGUAUACAUAGUAAUAGAGAAAAGAGUGCCUUAGUCUAUACUGGGCAACGAAAGAGUCACACUAAUUGACUAAAUCAGUUCCCCGACAACGGCACCAAAAACUUGAUACGUCUCGUGAUUGUAUAUAGAAUAUAGUCGAUCGGUUACUUGACUGCAAGUGCACAGUCCAUUCGUUUUACUUUUAAAAGAUAUUGAACCCACAAGGACCGAUGGUCAAACUAAUGCUACCGACGUUACUAUGUUUAGCUAAGGGAACGUUUUUUAGAAGUUUGGUUGAAGAAAAUUAAAACUAAGGGAAGUUAAGUUUUAAGAAAAUAUUAAUAGAAGGAUAUCAGUAUGCAACGCAUUAAUCGUCAGGAAUUCGAUAAGUCACUGGUGUAUAAUUUAAGUACCAAAUAUCUUUUAGUAGAAAAUACUUAUUUAAAAGGAUUAAGCUCACACUCUCGUGAUUGUUGAUUUGGACUAUACCUUUAAGUCAGAAUGUACGCUCUCGCUGUCCCAUUUGAAGUUAAAAAUACUUUUUGAAAAUAAAUAAGUUCUAAUUGCUUUUAAAGUCCUCUCACUGUUUUUAAAAUCAAUGCCUAGUUUUUACUAUCCAGUUUGACCCUCACGCUCUCGCGAUUGUCGGUUCUCACCUUAGUUAAUUUCCCACUCUCGUGGCAAAAUCAUAUUAAAUAGCUUCUCACUCUUGUGAGAAAUUUAAUUAAAUUUAAAUUAAAAACCAUAGCCAAAAAGAUUGUUUGAGGAAAGAAGUUUUACACCGAUUAUUAUUAAAUCCCGUCUAAUUAAAUCAUUACAUACCGAUACCGGUAGUUUAGUCGGACAUGUUAAACAACGCAAACACAGACGAACAUAAACAGAUCAAUAAUAAAGCAAACAUGAUUACAAUAUUAAUAAAGCAAUAACAAUUUAAUAAAAACCUGGAAAUUAGAUUAAUAGAAUACGCCGAAUUUUGAAGUACUUGAGCAGUCCUCCACAGGUCGGUAGGAUUCUGCCUCUUCGAAGUAAUAGCUUAAACUAAAUUAAAUAAAUUAUAGUAGUUCCCUAGUGUAGGAAACUACUACUUUGGGUAGAUGAAAAGCGGAAAGGAAAAAGGGAAAAUCAAAGCUCUGAAUGGUAAAAGAAAAUAAUGUUGCUGAAGAAAAAUAAAAGACAAAAAUAGAAUUGUUGUGAAAAAAUGCAGAGAGAAAAAUGUCUGCAAAGCUGGCUUCAGAGAGAAAAAUUAAGCGUCCCCGUAGGUUUCCAACUUCCAUCCUUUUAUAUCCCCCAUUAGGUCAUGGCAGUUGAGAGAAACAAGGAUGACUUGGUUGAGUGAGGAAUCCAUAGGAAAGUGGCUGAGGAACGAUAAUUAAGGGCUUGUUGGAUCAUUUUUGUUGACAGUUUCAAAACGCUGAUUUUGGCCGCGUGACGUUUGUGAUGGGCCUGUGCCGGUCGUGACAGGCUGGGUGUGACGGUCGUCACAUUCACAAAGUUUGUAUUCUCUGUUUUGCUGUUUUUCUGUUGCUUUCUCUUCUGUUUCUUCUUCUUUUCCUUCCAUUUCUAUACUUUGUUCAUUUAAGCAUGGGGAUUGAAAUACUUGCAAAAAUAACUCGAACACUUGCGAAAUAAUCGAAAUAUAAAUGAAAGUGGUACGAUUUUUUAGUGUAAAUCAAGGCAAAUAUACAAUUUAUUUUCGCGUUAUCAAAUAACAAGAUAUAACCAGUAACCAUAGGGUAUCCCUAGUCCCAGGUGAUAUCUACUAUAGUUUAAUUAUGCAAAAACCUUAACAAUUGCAAUCCCGCAAAUUUUUAACCAUAUAACAAUCCUUAUUUUUCUGAUAACGAAAGCAUUAAUAAUAUUGCACAGUUAAAUUGAAUAAUAAAUAUAAAUUGAGGGAGUUAACAAUUCAAAGUCAUUACAUGAUCAAAUCAAGGACACCCCCUGGAAUUGGGGGGUUUAGCCGCUCAUAUUAUUCAAAGAAAAUACAAUAUUCAAAUUAGACAUUACAAGAAAUGGGGAUUCCGUUGAUCUUCAAUCGCGUUCACUCUUGAAGGACCUCCGUUCGCCGAAACUCUUGAUCAUACCAAUCUCAAUCGUCUCAAUCUUUCGCGUGCAAACAGUCCCUUUUCUUUUCCUCAAAAAGUACCCUAAAUAGUCACUAAUCAAUUAAUUGUGAUGCAUGGCUCGUGUGCAUGAAGUUUGAACUCUCCUUGAAUGGGCCUGUACAGGCGCAUGUAAGGCCCAAGAAUGAAUGCAAAUCCAUGCUGAGAUCAAAUGUAAGUGAGUUCGACGUGCACAAGGCCUAGCAUUUGCUUGCACAUGAAGUUAUAAUGUGAGUUGCAAAAAUGAACAUAAACAUUAAGCUCUUCGAAACUCACUCAUGGAAAGUCCAAAAAAUUAAUGUGAGUAAUGGUUUGAAAGCCCUUGAAAUAAGGAAAAAAAGUCAUGUUGGGAAAAAAUUCAUUUGGCAAUUGGAAAUUUAUGAAAACUGGCUGUGACGGUUUGGGUACAAAACAUGUCUAGGUUCCCUUUGAAAUUUUUUACCAAAAGCAAGCAUCUUCAAGCCCUUCUGGUUCAUUGAUGAAAGCCUCAAAGGGAAAAACCUCCAACAUCAAAGUUGUAUAUCUCUUCAAGAUGAUCAACUUAGACUUAAAUUUUGCAUCAUUUGGAUUUUUGAUGAGAAAGGUAUGGGUACUUGAAGUUGGACAUUUUCAAAUUCAAUGGCUUAGGUCCAAAGUGACCUAUAAUGUUUUGUAUUAUCACAUGUAUUUAUUUUUGGAUUAUGAAAUUUUAUCCAAAAUAACAUUUUAAUUAGACAUCUUAAUAUUCCAAUUCAAUUGGUCUCACCUCAAAAUCAUAAAAAUUAAAGAAGUUAGGUCCUUGGGAAGUUGACAAAAAAUUAGGGUUUCAGUCAAAAUGACCUAUAAUGUUUUGAAAUGAAUGAUGACCUUCCAAGUUUCAAAUGGAUUUUUUAUAAAGAUUAAAGUUGGUCAUACGGUUCUUAAUAACAUUUUUUCUCCUAGGGUCAUCUUCAUUUGGCAAACACAUCAAAAGUUGUAUCUCAGUGAUCCUCAGUUUAGUCAGAUGACUUGACUGGUCAAUUUCUCAAGGCCAAACUUCAAAUCUUGAUGAAUGAAUGAUUGAGGAUCCUCAAAUAAGCUCAUGUAUGCAUAGAAUAAUGAAUGAAAGAACUUACAUUGAUUAAAUUUGAUCAUAGGUUGAGGUUGCUUCAUGAGCAAGGCACAGUCAAAGCAUAGUUGAAUUAGGGUUUCCUUGGGAACAAACCUCAAGCCAUUUGGGUUAUCUUGAUCAAAUUGGAAAAUUGAGAUACUUGGGAGACAUAUAUGAUGAUUAGGAGAUUUUUGAACCAUUGUCAUGCCUUUUCUCAUCUUCAUCUAGCCACUUCAUUGAGCUUAGGAGCCUCCUAGGAGCAUAGGAGCACAUGAUCACUUGAGCUUCAAAACAAAAAGGGUUAGUGACAUAUUUUUGUCCUUUUGGUUAGUAAACAAAAUAAGAAAAGCAAAAAUAUACAAUACAAGCAUGCUUGGUGGUCUCAAAGCAACCACACAAGUCCCACCCCUAGGGUUAAGGAGCCACACAUGCUAUGAUCCUUGAGGCAAUGCAUUGAGCAAAUGAUAUGAUGCCAUGAGGGAUCUUAGGGUCAAAAUUAGGGUCUUAUAGAUGCCCCUAUUUAAGGUCAUUCUAUUCGGAGAUAUGAAGGUUAAAAUCUUCGUCUUGACGAGGUAGAAUGAGCUUAAAUAAUAACAAAGAGACGAAUUUUGGUCCCUAAGGCACCUCAUGAUGCAAAUGUAUGCAUGCAAAAUAAAAUCUUCAUGGUGAAUAAUUGCCACAAAGGAAAAGAAAUCGGGAGAAACUGAAAAAUCCAUAGGAGUAACACACGCACUAGGGAGACAGAGACUCUGGGGGAAAUAAGGUAAAAAUGCGUGAGCAGGUCGCGACUUGAAAACUUGCUGGGAGACACGAAGGGAUUCCAUGAAAAUAAAUUGAUGGAAAGACUCGAGCUGACGCAAAGAUGCGUGUAUUGGGGAAUAUGCCAAUACAGCAAAACCAUCCACAAAGGAUACCUUAGAUAAAAAUCCGGACUCAGACGGGGAUGUCCACAAAGGACUCAGCUGAGGAAGAAACAACGAGAUAUUACCGGUUACCGGGUAAUAAACUCAAAGAGAGACAUGUUUUCAAAAACACUGGUUACUGGGUAAGAGAACAACAUGCUCAGGGAGAAAGAAUAUCUAAGACCAAUAUAAUGGUGAGAGAUAUCAAUCAUCCGAAACAUCUGAGGAGGACCCAAAAGGCACAUCUCAACUCAGGAAAAUCUGACUCCACAGGGGACAAAAAGUCAUAAUAGGGAGCAGAAGGAAGGAACACCAUGGAUACAGGUUAUUGGGUGUAUAUUGGGAACAAAUCUAAGACACUCAUCACCCGAAAGGAGGGCUAAAAAAGCAAACUCGACUUACAGGAUGGGCAUUCGAUUCCACAAGGAAAUACGAAUCUUACUCGACUGGGGAAGAAAGAGACUUAGACUGAAGAGCGCAUGAGAUAUAUUAUCUAUUAUCGUCAUAACAUAGAUAACAUACUCGCAUGGAAGAUUAUCCACAACUAGUUACUGGGUUAAUGAAGGAUAAAUCGACCGAAAAGAAAGGACAUCGGGAUGCCGGUUACUGGGUAUAAAAUGAUGACCGAUCAAAAGGAGAAACGAUCAUUACCAAAUAAGGGUAAAUGAAAGAUGACUCGGCGGGGAUGAAUUGCUUGAUAAAAGUAAUUAUCAAAGAGAUAUAUCACCGGUUACUGGGUGGUAUACUCAAAACGAAGGAAUAUCAAUACCGGUUACUGGGUAAAGAUAACCAGCAAAGAGGGGAUUACAUCUAUCGGUUACUAGGUAGAAAACCACGGAAAUAGGACUUACAACUACCGGUUACUGGGUAGAAGGCCACUGAAAUCCACUGGGGAAAAGAAUGAACUAUUACUGGUUUCUGAGCAAUUGAACAACUGAACCACGGGGAACUGCCGGGGAUAACAAGAAAGAAGAGUCAAUCCAGGAACAAACUAGAAAGACACGGUUAAACAAGACUCAACCCAAUGAGGAUAUAACUCAGGGGAGCAAUUCCAUCCCGAUACUCAACUUGGGGAGGAAACUGAAACAAUAAUCAUCCAUGAGUACAUAACUCAGUGAGGAAUAAAGAAAGAAAGAUAGACACUUUUGUAAGACCCUAUUUUUGACCCUAAGACCCUUCAUGGCAUCAUACCAUUUGCUCAAUGCAUUGCCUCAAGGAUCAUAGCAUGUGCGGCUCCUUUACCCUAGGGUUGGGACUUGUGUGACUGGUUUGAGAUCACCAAGCAUGCUUGUAUUGUAUAUUAUUUCUUUUCUUACUUUGUUUACUAACCAAAAGCACAAAAAUAUGUCACUAACUCUUUUUUUUUUGAAGCUCAAGUGAUCAUAUGCUCCCCUGCUCCUAAGAGGCUCCUAAGCUUAAUGAAGUGGCUAGAUGAAGAUGAAAACAAGCAUGACAAUUAUCCACAAAGUUCCUAAUCAUCAUAUAUGUCUCCCAAGUAUCUCAAUUUGCCAAUUUGAUCAAGAUAACCCAAAGGGCUUGAAGAUUGUUAAUUCAACUAUGCAUUGACUAUGCCUUGCUCAUGAAGCAACCUCGACCUAUGAUCAAAUUCAAUCAAGAGAAGUUCUUUCAUUCAUUAUUUUAUGCAUAUAUGAGCUUAUGUGAGUAUCCUCAAUCAUUCGUUCAUCAAGAUUUGAUGUUUGGCCUUGAGAAGUUGACCAGUCAAUUCAUCUAACUAAACUGAGGAUCACUAAGACACAACUUGUGAUGUAUUUGUCAAAUGAAGAUGACCCCCAGAGGAAAUAUGUUCUUAAUGACCAUAUGAACAACUUUCAUGUUCAUCAAAAAUCCAUUUGGAACUUGUAAGGUCAUCAUUCAUUUCAAAACAUUAUAGGUCAUUUUGACUGAAACCCUAAUUUUGGGUCAACUUCCCAAGGACCUAACUUCCUUAAUUUUUAUGAUUUUGAGGUAAGACCAAUUGCAUUGUAAAGCUUAAGAUGUCUAAUUCAAAUUUUAUGUUGGACAAAAUUUUAUAAUCCUAAAAUAAACACAUGUGAUAAUACAAAAUAUUAUAGGUCAUUCUGGACCAAAGCCAUUGAAUUUGAAAAAUGUCCAACUUCAAGUGCCCAUAACUUUAUCAUUAAAAAUCCAAAUGAUGCAAACUUUAAGUCUAAAUUGAUCAUCUUGAAAAUAUCUACAACUUUGUUAUUGAAGGUUGUUCCAUUUGAGAUUUGCAUCGUUGAAACAGAAGGGCUUGAAGUUGCUUAAUUUUGGCAAAUUUUUCAAAGACAUGUUUUGUACCCAAAACUUCGAAUCCAGUUUUCAUAAAUUUCGAAACUCCAAAUGGAUUUUUGCCUAACAUGAAUUUUGUUCCUUAUGUCAAGAGCUUUCCAACCAUUACUCACAUGACCAUUUUUGGAUUUUCCAUGUGGGAGUUUCGAAGAGGUGAAUGUUUAUGUUCAAUUUUGCAAUUCACAUUAUAACUUGAUGUACAAGCUAAUGCCAAGCCAGUUGCACGUCCAAAUCAUUUCUACUUGAGAUCAGCUUGCAUUUCCAUUCACUUUUGGGCCUCACAUGCGCCUGUACAGGCCCAUGCAUGGAGGACCCAAAACUCAUGCACACGAGCAUUGCACCUCAUUGCAUCAAGCUCAGCUAUAAAUAGAAGCUCUUCCUCAUUCAAAUUUCAACCUCAAGGUGAUCUGAAACUCUACUGGAUUGAAACCUCACCCUCACUCAAAGGAAUUGCAGUUUUCAUUUCUCAAUUUCAAGCUUGAAUUUCAACGUCCUUAGUUAAUCUUCAAGUCUUAAUUCCUUAGCCUUGCAUCAUCAUCACAUCUCCAGAUCAAAAUUGGAUCAAGAACUUGAGCAAAUCGUGUUGUUCAAAGCUGCAUUUAAGAGGUAUAUCACUAAACUAUUUGGAUCUGGAUUUUGAAAUACAAUGUGAAUUGCUUGAGUUUGAACUAUUUUCUGAAGUCCUCGAGCAAGAGGCAGGCCAGUGGUGGUCUAAUUUCAUGAAUUGUGACAUUUCAGAUCAAACACCAUGAUCUUCAAGCUCAGAUUUCUCAUUAGAUAGAAACUUUGAGGAAGAUCCAAGGUUACAGGGGUGAUGUACAUCACCCUAGCUUCAUUUUGAUACCAUUGUUUUUCAUUUUCAUUGAGGUUGAAAAACAUGCGCGUGGUGGCAGGAACCAGUUGGUUAGCUGGAGAAGAUGGUGGUUUCCACCACCAUCCCCACGUGGGAUCACCAGAGCCAUUGUAUGAUGUUCAAAUGUUAUAAUCGCGUCCCUUCAUUUGGCUGACUUAUUUUAAAUACAUAUGUUGCGCGCUUGACCAAGGAGCAUCGUGCAUCAACGCCUCUGGACCGUAUGAUGAUGCCACGUCAAUUAAUGAGACGGAUCCAAUGGCAACGCAUUUUUACUAUUUUUCUAUUUUCUGUUUUAAUUUCAUUAAUCCCUUUUAUUUUCAAAAAUUCAUAAAUAUUUUAUUUGAAGUCACAAAAAUAUGAGACCAACACCAAAAAAUUUCUUGAAAAAUCUAGUUUCAUAUCCUGAUUUUUAAUUAUUUUUGUGGCUUCAUUUAAUAUUUUUUGUGAAUUAUUUGGUUUUUAAUAGUUUUUAAGUCAUUUUAAAUUCUUUUUGAUAUCUGAAAAAUCCAAAAAUAUUUUUCUUACCAUAUAUGGAUCAUGAUAAGUCAAUGAAAAAUAGUCUCAUCAAUUUCUUAUUGGUUUGAGAUUUAUUUGAGAUUUUAAUUCAUUUGUGUUAUUUUUCAUUGUUUUUAAUUGUUUUAAAAUAGUUUCUGAUUUCAAAAAAUGUUGAGAAAAUUUGUCAAACUUUGUUUGACCAUGUUAGACCUAUGAAAAUUUAAUUGGACUUGUCUAAGUUGAUUUGAAUUGAAUUUGAGGUUUGACCAUAUUUUGUCCAUUUUAAUUUUGCAUUUAUUUUAAUUCCAAAAAUACCAAAAAAAAUAUGUUUAACUUGUUGACUUCCAAUCUUCAUUUCUCUUUUGUUUUACAUUGGUUGAUGAUGAUUUGAUUCACUUUUGACCAAUUGUGUUUGACACUUUAUUUCUUUAUCCAUUUCAUUUCAUCUUCAUCUCACUUUUUUAUUUUAUUUUGGCCAAUGAGUUAAUGUCUUAUGGUUGGUCUUGACAUAUGAGAGGCUUAAUCUUCUUUGAUCCAAAUCAAACUCAACUUGAUCCAAGAUCAAGUGAGUUGCUUUGUGUCCAAGAUAGGUUGCUUCUUGGUCAAGUAAAAAACCUAAAGUCCAUACAAGGCCUUCCUCUAUUCUUUUGGCAUGGCAAGUUGUAGGAGCUUGGCUUACUAGUCAUGAUCUCUAACUUGUGUUUAUUUGCCUAUAGUUUUAUUGAUCGACCUCAAAUAGGUGUGACUACUACAUUAGUCCACUUACGAUUGCUUAACAUAGCGCUAAAUUGUCUUAUGACACACUAACAUUAACCAUACUAACUACUAACUUUAAUUUGAGCAUUUAAUUUCUUACAUUAGUCCACUUACGAUUGCUUAACAUAGCGCUAAAUUGUCUUAUGACACACUAACAUUAACCAUACUAACUACUAACUUUAAUUUGAGCAUUUAAUUUCUUGCAAUUUACUUUAAUGCAAUUUAUUUGUUUGCUCAUUUAUUCAUAUUGCUUUUUUCCUUUGCUCACUUGAGCACAUAUUUUAUGUUUAUGCCAUUUUCCUUUUGCUCAUUUGAGCUCAUUAUUGUAUAUAAAAUAUAUUGUUAUUUUGUGUUGGUUUUGUCUUUGUUUGUGUGAAAUCAAUGCAAAAAAAAGAAAAAGGACUUAGAAUUAGGACUUUACCCUGCUUAAAGGAGUUCAAGAGCAAGUAGACCUCAUGCCUUUAGAAUGCUAAAUUUGUUGAAGAGCAACUAGGCCUCAAACCUUUAGAAUGCUCAAUUUAAAAGUUGACUUCAAAGGACCCCUAAUCUAAACUCAUUCUUUGUCCAUUCCUCUUAUUGUGUUGUAAACUUUUUGAUGUUUGCUCUUGUGUGAUAGGGACUCCAUCUUGAGAUAGUAAGAAGGACCAUUGUCAUGAGUAGCCAAGUUAAGAGAGACAAGCCAAAUUGAGAUCCUAGGACCCUGAAUAUAAUAUUUGUUUGAUUGCUUGAGUGAUUGCUAAGUCCAAAGGAAAGGAGCAUCUUGAAUCAUUUCUAUGAUUUCAAGAAAAAGGAACUCCAAGGGUUUUACCUCUUCUCUUAUCUUUGCAUGUUUAGGACUAACCCUUCUCUUCUUCUCUCCACUCUAACCCAAGCCAAACUCACUUAUGUGCAAACUUUGACUUUGUUUCAAAUUAGAAACUUAGGGCUUAUGCCUUUGAUUUUUUUCAAAAUCUUUUCAUUAAUACUUAUUGUCAAUAAACAUUAAUUCAACUUUGAAUUCAUUUUGUAAAUAAAUCUAACUUGUAAAUAUAACUCACUUCAAGUUGUUUUUUUUGUGGUUCCAAUGGCCAUCUUUGUUAAAACCUUUUUAUAAACAUUAGUCAUAGGUUUGAGUUAUCAUAGUGGUUGAUGUAAACCUCACCUUAUCCUUAGUGAUUGGACUAUAAGUCUUCCAUACUUAUUAUAGGGUUAACCCUUCACUAGUAUGUUGAAGCCUCUCCUCACAUGGUGGAUUGUUGGUUUAGGUUGAGUUUUCUCCCUUUGAUAACAAAAGACCUUAAGGCUUUUGAUUAAAUCAAUUCACCAAUCUUUGAGAUUUUACCCCGAACUACGAGGUUUUAAUCCUACCUUUGUGAUGGUACGUAUGCAAUGGGUUCAUCCAUUCAAACAACAAAACUGUAAAUAUAAUAUCUCUUCUCAUCCCCACAAUUUUUUGCACAUAUUUUCACAAAUACCAACCUACAACACAUGUUUGCAAAAAGAGGUUCCCUUAGAGUACUAAGGAUGUUUUGGGUGCGUAAAACCUUCCCAUUUCAUAACCAACCCCCUUACCUAGAUCUUUGACAUUUUUAUUUGUUUUUGAUUUAAUAAAACUUCUUACUUGGCUUUUGUUCGCUUUUUUAGCCUUUCCUUUGGACAAAUAAAAGUGCGGUGGCGACUCGAAUUGUAUGUUGACUUUUGGUUUAGUCAAUAAACCAUAAGGUAAUGAAUACCCCGCUAUAACUUUCUGCCUAUGGGGACUGACUCUAUAUGGAGAGAUCAGACACAAACAUCUGCUUGGCGAAGAACAUUUCACUAAUAGUAGGAGACAACAAGCAAAGAUAUAUGGCAAAGAAUGCAAUCAUGAAUAUCUGAAUGCUAUGAUUAUGCAUAUAUAUGUGUGGUUUAUGCAUGAUUAAUGCUGACAGACAGACAUAUCUAACACAAACAGGCUCAAGAGCCACGAACGGACAUCCAACAUAAAAUCUUCACGGACAAGGGCCAGGCCCACAAGAGAAAUCAGCUCUGGUGAAGAUGCAUCAAAUACUGGGGAGACACCAAUCACCGUUGGGGAUAGGCAAAGUCACAAAUUCCAACUGCCAAGGACUCCUCAUCCAUUCUCGGGAACGAGUGGCUGAAGAUCGAUAAGAUCUUCCGUAGAAGAAACUCUACUAGGGAACUUAUCAAGGAGAGAUAUAGAAUUCUAUGGGGAACAAAUUCCAAACAGAUGCCCAUUCCAUCAAAACAUUCCCUUCUAACUGCUGGAGGGACAAUCUCUACUAAGGGGAGACAAAACAAUUUGUUCCGCUAGGGAAGGAGGCAACACAUCUUCCUCAGCAUCUCUCAAUACUUUGAAGAAAUCUUCAACCACAUAGGGGACACAAAUUAUCAAACUCGGGUCAGGCAAUUCUGCCAGGGAUAAAUUGUAGGCAACCCUCUAAGGAAACAUGUUGGGGAUAGAAGAGAAACAGAUCUUCCACCAACUGCUCUAAACCACUUCCUAAUGAGAGACAAACUGAAAGCUGAUGAAGAGGACAUAAACAUUCCAUAAUAUGAACAAAAUGUCUUACCUUUUGGAAAUCGUACUAUCCUUGGGAGAGCACUGAAGACGUUUCGACUAUCCUUUCCGUCAUUGUGAAUGUUCAUUUUGUUUAAAAAACAAUUCUAUAAAACUUUAUUUGUUUAAAACAAUGAUAUUUAUCAAUUAAAACAUGCAAACAUUUGUUAAACAAAAACAAAUAAGAGUGCCAAGAAUUGGAUAAAGGCUCAAAUUUAUUUAAUAGAAUGGUAGUCUGCAAAUGGCGAGACUCCAUGGAUCUUUACAAAUUUUAAAUUGGUGAUAUAUAUUGGAAAAAGGGCUACAUUGAACAUAAUGACCGUUUCUCCACCAACUCUGAAUACAAUGCAUUCGAAGCUUCAGUUGACGAUGACUGAGCGAGAAUCUUUGACAGAUGACUGUUGUAGAACAAAGUCUUGUCAGGAUGCAAUUACUUGCCAAAUCCCUAAUUUUUUGCCUAGAUUGCCCCAGGGUGAGUUACUCAAUCUAGCAGGAUAUAUAUUCAUUUUUAUGUCUCUAACUUUUUCCUGGACCGCCCUUUCGGGUUUUCAAUCCACCGAGACACUCAUUUUUUCCUAAGCUGCCCUUUCAGGUUUUCAACUUAGCGAGCCAUUCUGUUUUUAUUUUUAGGCGAAGUAUUUCUUGACUGCAUUUGAAUUCACAGGACGAGUGAAAUCCUCCCCAUCCAUAGUUGUAAGUAACAAAGCACCGCCUGAAAAGGCUCUCUUAACAACAUAUGGACCUUCAUAGUUUGGAGUCCACUUGCCCCUGGAAUCGGGGGCGAAAGGCAAGACUUUCUUGAGCACGAGGUCACCUUCUCGGAACACACGAGGCUUGACCUUCUUAUCAAAGGCUUUCUUCAUCCUUUGUUGAUACAACUGACCAUGACACAUGGCAGUUAAUCUCUUCUCUUCAAACUAUCAAAACGACUCUGGACCACUCAGCCUCAGUCAACUGGCUUCCAUCAAGACUCUCAUUGAUGGGAUCUCAACUCCACGGGAGCACAGCCUCCAUGCCAUAUAAUGAAGAAAGGGGUUGCCCUGUUGAAGUGUGGACAGAUGUACGAUAGCCAUGCAAAGCAAAUGGCAGCCAUCCAAUCUUUGUACGUAACAACCAUCUUCUGGAUAAUCUUCUUGAUGUUCUUGUUAGCAGCUUCAACAGCCCCAUUCAUCUUGGGUCUAUAGGGAGAAGAAUUAUGAUGUGCAAUCUUGAACUCGCUAUACAGCUCUUUCAUCAUUUUAUUUUUCAAGUUAGAUCCAUUAUCAGUAAUGAUCUUAUCUAGCACACCAUAUCGGCAUAUGAGUUGAUUCUUGAUAAACUUCACGACCACCUGCCUGGUCACAUUAGCAUACGAUGCCGCUUCAACCCACUUGGUGAAGUAAUCAAUAGCUACGAGAAUAAAACGGUGACCGUUCGAUGCCUUAGGUUCAAUCAUGCCAAUCAUGUCAAUUCCCCACAUGGAGAAAGGCCAUGGUGAGGAAAUAACAUUCAAAAAUGUCGGGGGAAUAUGAAUCUUAUCCGUAUAAAUCUGACACUUGUGGCAUUUCUUCAAAUAUUUGCAGCAGUCAGACUCCAUUGUCAGCCAAUAGUAGCCUGCUCUCAACAUCUUCUUUGCCAUAGCAUGUCCAUUGGAAUGAGUACCAAAUGAACCCUCAUGGACUUCAGUCAUCAACAGGUCUUGCAUGUCCAUUGGAAUGAGUACCAAAUGAACCCUCAUGGACUUCAGUCAUCAACAGGUCUGCUUCGUGUCUAUCCACGCAUCUGAGCAGAACCAUGUCAAAAUUUCUCUUAUAAAGCACAUCGCCAUUAAGGUAGAAACUUCCAGAUAACCUCCUCAAAGUCUUCUUAUCUUUAACAGAUGCCCCAGGCGGGUAAAUCUGACUCUGAAGAAAACACUUGAUAUCAUAAUACCAUGGCUUAUCAUCUUUCACUUCUUCAACUGCAAACACAUGAGCUGGUCUAUCAAAGCGCAUCACCGCAAUAUUGUGGAAUUCAUUCCAAUACUUGACAACAAACAUUGAAGCAAGCGUAGCAAGAGCAUCCGUCAUCCGAUUCUCAUAUAAGGGAAUAUGAUGAAAGUCAACCUCAGUAAAGAAAGUCGAAAUCCUCCUUGCAUAAUCUCUGUAAGGGAUGAGGCCAGGCUGAUUCGUUUCCCAUUCACCCUUAAUCUGAUUAACAACAAGGGCCGAAUCACCAUAAACAUCAAGAUGUUUGAUCCUAAGAUCAAUACAUUCUUCCAAACCCAUAAUUCAAGCCUCAUACUCUGCCAUAUUAUUCGUGCAUUUGAAAGUUAGCCUUACUGUAAAAGGAAAAUGUGUGCCUUGAGGAGUAAUAAUCACUGCCCCAAUACCAUUUCCAUACUGAUUAACAGCACCAUCGAACACCAUACCCCAUCGGGAACCAGGCUCUGGUCCUUCAUCGAGUGUAGGCUCAUCACAAUCUGUCAUCUUCAAAUACAGAAUCUCCUCAUCAAGGAAGUCGUACUGCACCGACUGAUAAUCUUCAAUUGGUUGAUGUGCCAAGUGGUCAGCCAAGAUACUACCUUUAAUAUCUUUUUGAGCUCGAUACUCGAUAUCAUACUCAGAUAACAACAUCUGCCAACGGGAAAUCCUCCCAGUUAAAGCAGGCUUCUCAAAGAUAUACUUGAUCGGAUCCAUUUUGGAUAUCAACCAAGUUGUAUGAUUCAACAUAUACUGGCGCAAACGCUUAGCAGCCCAAGCCAAAGCACAUCAUGUCUUCUCAAGCAUUGAGUACCGAGACUCACAAUCGGUAAACUUCUUACUCAAGUAGUAUAUUGCAUAUUCUUUCUUCCCUGAUUCAUCUUGCUUACCCAACACACAACCCAUGGAAUCAUCAAGCACGGUCAAGUACAUAAUUAACGGUCUCCCUUCAACAGGCGGAGACAGAAUCAGAGGCUCAGACAAAUACUCUUUAAUACUGUCAAAAGCUUUUUGGAAAUCCUCGGUCCAAUCAUAACGCUGAUCUUUCCGAAGGAGCUUGAAUAUAGGCGCACAUGUGGCAGUCAUGUGGGAUAUAAAUCUGGAAAUGUAAUUCAAGCGGCCAAGAAAACCUCGGACUUGCUUUUCAGUUUUGGGCGCAGGCAUCUCUUGUAUUGCUUUGACCUUGGCAGGAUUCCAAGAAAACCUCGGACUUGCUUUUCAGUUUUGGGCGCAGGCAUCUCUUGUAUUGCUUUGACCUUGGCAGGAUCAACCUCAAUACCUCUUUCACUGACAAUAAAGCCCAAUAACUUGCCGGAACAGACUCCAAAUGUACACUUGUUCGGAUUCAGGCGGAGUUUAUACUUCCUCAAACGCUGGAAAAGCUUCAACAAGUGCUCUACAUGUUCAACUUCCGUUUUCGACUUCGCAAUCAUAUCAUCGACAUACACCUCUAUCUCCUGGUGCAUCAUAUCAUGAAACAAGGUAGCCAUAGCUCAUUGAUACAUGGAUUCGGCGUUCUUCAAACCGAAGGGCAUCACUCGAUAACAAAAUGUUCCCCAAGGUGUGAUAAAUGUUGUCUUCUCCAUAUCCUCGGGUGCCAUUUUAAUCUGAUUAUAACCGGAAAAUCCGUCCAUAAAUGAGAAGACAUUGAAUUUAGUUGUAUUAUCUACCAACAAAUCAAUGUGUGGUAGAGGAAAAUCAUAUUUUGGACUAGCUUUAUUCAAGUCACGGUAAUCCACACACAUUCGGACUUUUCCAUCUUUCUUAGGCACAGGCACAAUAUUGGCCACCCAUUGAGGAUAUGUAGAAGUCAGCAGAAACCCCGCAUCAAUUUGCUUCUGAACUUCUUCUUUAAUCUUCACUUCCAUAUCAGGAUGAGUUCUUCUGAGCUUUUGCUUCACAUGCACACACUCAGGCUUCAAUGCCAAGAAAUGUUGCAUGAUAUCAGUAUCUAGACCAGGCAUAUCUUCAUACGACCAGGAAAAGACGUCGACAUAUUCUCGUAGCAACUCAAUCAACCCCUUCUUAACAAAAUCUUCAAGGAGUGCCCCAAUCUUCACUUCACAAACGCAGUCUUCAGACCCCAAGUUGACUCUUUCCAGAUUCUCAAGAUGUGGUUGAAUGAUCUUCUCUUCGUGCUCAAGCAGACGGGUAAUCUCAUCAGGAAUCUCUUCAACAUCAUCUUCUUCCGCCUCAAAUUCAGGGAACUCAAAGUUGGGAGAUGGUGUUGGAUCAUUAUGUUCAAUGGGUUUGAUUAACCUGCAUAAUGAGUAUGCAGAUGAAAAGAUUGAUUUUAUUCUCUUUUUAGGGUUUUAUGGUGAUCACCAAUUUCAUGCAAAAAGCGAAAACGAAAAAUAAUUUGGAAAAACAAACAUUUAACAUGUGAUUAUUGAAUGAAUAUCAUUGUAUUAAUCAAAUUGUACCAACAAUGUCUUCACUUCUCCUUUUGGCAUGGGAAAAGGGUUUUCAAACAAAAUGAACACAUUACGUUGACUUAUGGAUAACUGUUGGAACAUCAACAACGACCCAAUUAUUGCAGAUUCCUCCGGGUAUGACAAAGUUGCCAAGGUCUUCCUCUUCAUCAUCUUCCACAAUGGCAGCAGCUUCCGGGUCUUCAACAGUGUGGAUGAAACCUCCACUCUGGAACAACCCACGCUCAUUAGAAAGACCAGAAGAAUACCUUAUGCCAGCUUGGGACUUGUUAUCUUCCAACUUUAUCAUUUUCCCUAAACCAGUAGUUGCACCAUGCUCAAUGGCCAACUUCGCGUCAUUAUAGGAGACAAAUGAAGAAAGUCCUUUCCUUGAAGGCUCAGCAAUAGAUAAGGCUUGGAAUGGAGUCCCAACCUCGUCCUCAACAUCAAUAUAGGAGAAGGAAGAUAAAUAACUGACCAAGAGAGCCUUCUCUCCCCCUAUCACCACCAACUUUUUGUUCCUCACGAACUUCAACUUUUGGUGUAGGGUGGAUGUCACGGCGCCUGCCUCGUGAAUCCAUGGUCUGCCAAGCAAAUAGCUGUAAGAUGGAUGAAUAUCCAUGACCUGGAAAGUGAUCUGGAAGUCACUAGGUCCAAUCUUGAUCGGGAUUUCUAAUUCACCGAUCACAGUUUUGUGCGAUCCAUCAAACGCCUUCACAACCACUCCACUCUGCCUCAUAGGAGGCCCCUGGUAAGAAAGUUUGGCAAGAGUGGAUUUUGGCAACACAUUGAGCGAUGAUCUUGUGUCCACCAACACAUUGGACAAGGCAUCAUCCUUACAGUUCAUAGAUAUGUGUAAAGCCAAAUUGUGGUAUUUUCCCUCCUCGGGAAGAUCAGCAUCACAGAAGCUCAAAUUGUUGCAAGCGGUUAUAUUUGCAACAAUGCUAUCAAACUGCUCUAUUGUGACAUCGUGGUCCACGUAUGCCACGUCCAACACCCUCUGCAAAGCUUCACGGUGUGGCUCAGAAUUCAUCAACAAAGAUAAGAUAGAUAUCUUUGAUGGAGUUUGUAGCAGCUGAUCAACAACAUUGUAUUCACUCCUCUUGAUGAGCCUUAGCAUCUCAUCACCAUCCUCUUUCAUAAUGCCAGACUGGCCAACCAGGAUAGGAGUGUUAUUAUUCUUGACCGCAACAGGGUCAACAACAGGAACAGGAUUGUUUGAAGAAGAAGUCCCCACGGGACCAGCAGGACUAAUAACAGUUCUCUUCAUGACAUCUUCGUGGGAUUUCGGCGGAGCCGAGAAAACACGACCACUACGGGUCACACCACUGACGUCUGAAAUGCUCACUACAGAAGUUGAAGGAAACGACACCUCCUUUCCAUCUUCUAGCGUUACAACGUUAUAUCGGUAGGGAACAACUUUGUCCGAUACAUACGGGACAGGGCCCGCUGGCUUGAUCACAAGAGCUGGUGAUACCUUCUUCUUGUUGUCAUCAUACUUGACGACAACAGGCUCAGGAAGUUUAAACACUAGGGUGAUUACAUCAACUUCAUCCUCAUUACGAUUUUGAAGUAUUUCAAUCAUUCCCUGAUCAAUCAUCUCUUGGAUGUCCUUUAUUACUUGUCGGCAUCCUCUCUCAUUGAUAGUGCACACCUGGCCCCUAUCAUGGUCAUGCUCGUAGUGACUGUGUUCACACAACAGCUUGUACAUAUCGACCAAAGAUUGCCUUAUGUCAUUAACAUACAAGACUUUAUACUUGCCAGGGCAUCCCUGGACCAUAUUAACAGCUGCUUUCCCAUGUCCGGGAGCACAGGAAUGAUAUACACAAUGAAGCUCUGGCUUAUACCACCACUGAGGAUUGGCUGGUACAACGGGAGGAUCUCACGAAGUUAUCAGCUUUCUAUCGAUCAAAGAAGGAUAGAGCUCAACAUAUGUCAUCGGAAUCGGGUCAAAAGUCACCCUCUUCCUCUCGUAGUUUUUGGUGCUGGUGUUGUUAUUGUUGCGAGGCUGGUAGGCCUAUUGUUGUUGAUGAUGUUGUUGUUGUUGUUGAUGAACUUCUCGAAAAGUAGGUGCUAUAUGAGCCACCUGGUGUUGGUUGAUGGCAGAACGCACAUCCUUCCUCCUUACAGAGGGCCUUCUUUUAAUAUGGGAGGACACGUCAUGGGUCUCUCCCUCCUUCUUCCUUGCAAAGCCUCCAUACUUCUUUGCUGAGGAUCUGUCUUCCAUGGAUAAUCGUCCUUCACAGACCCCUUCUUCCAAUCUCAUCCCCAUAUUCACCAUUUCGGUGAAGUCUGAGGGAGCACUGGCAAUCAUUCUUUCAUAGUAGAAAGAGCUCAAAGUCUUCAAGAAGAUCUUUGUCAUCUCCUUCUCUUCCAGGGGCAUUGCUCUCAAUUGGUCCCUGUCCGGAGCCAUAUCCACAUUAUAUUUGUACUGCUUGACGAAGGCCUCGCCUAAAUAGUUGAAAGUGCGGAUGCUUGCACUCUCCAUCCCCAUAUACCACCGGAGCGCAGCACCUGUCAGGCUAUCCUGAAAGUAGUGGAUCAGUAGUUGAUCGUAAUCGGUCUGUGUUGACAUCUUGCGAGCAUACAUCACAAGAUGGCUGAGCGGGAAUGUAUUUCCCUUAUACUUCUCAAAGUCAGGCACUUUGAAUUUAAUAGGGAUCUUCACGUUGGGCACUAAGCACAACUCAACAGCACUUUUACCAAAGAGGUCCUUACCCCUCAAAGUCUUCAGUUCCUUGCGCAGCUCAAGGAAUUGGUCUUUCAUUUCGUCCAUCUUCUCAUAUAAAUUCGGUCCCUCAGACGGCUCAGAAUGAUAGAUGGUGUUUUCAACACGGGGUAAGGUGUGCACAACGGGAGGUGGCAUAGAUAGGACCGGGCUAGAUGCCAGCAGAGAAGCGAGAGUAGGAGCGAAACCCUCUGGUACAAAAUUAGCAGGCAUUCCCCAAGGGAACCCGGCUGGCAUAGACGGAGCGAAGUGGGUCGUUGCAGCAGGCACAGUUGAAGUUGCUAUCUCAUAAAUAACCGUCCUCACGGGAGGAGUUGCAGGAGUUGGUGAAGCUUGACUUUAUGCGGCCAGGACUGACUCCAUCAUGGCAGUCAGCCUAGCAACCUCUUCUUUCAAUUCCCUGUUCUCUUGCUCUAAAUGCUCCAUGAUCCUUGGAUGAUUGGCUUGAGUAUUAUACCGGUGCGUCAGCUUGUCUUCAAAAUAAAUUAAGAACAAAGAGUUAGACCACUGAUCAAGAGCUUAGAACAAAACCUACUUAUGCAUAUGAUGUAUGCAAUGUUUGUGCAUAUGAUUUGGUUUUAUUAGAGGAACUUUAUAGAGAUCUAUUUGCAAAUAUUUGGAAAUAUUUUACUCUUAAGACACAUAUGGAAUACUCAUAGCAAUGAUAUUUGGAAACUUUUUACACCAAAGAAGUAGUACAGUUUUGGUAGCCAAAUACAAUACAAGAGAAAAGGAGAAUGAACAUCCUAUGGAGCCCUAGAAACAAUCUUCCAAAUCCUUCGAGAUCGGGAGAUAAGUUGCACGAAGCCUCUUCACCUCUCUCAUAAGCUGCUUUCAUAUCGGCCUUCUCCUUGGAAAGUUGAUCAUACUUCCUCUUCCAGAACCUAGAUGAGUGAGGAAGAAGAGAAGUAACCACAUCAUCAGGCUCAUCAAUAACCUGAUGCUCUAGAAAUUCUAUCACUACAUCCUUAUCUUUGAGCUGCUGAAGUAGUUCCUCACGCUCACGAACCCAUGCACGCUACCAGUCUUCAUCUCUCAACUCCUCUACCCCUUGGUUAGGGAGGGUUGAAGGCCCAACCAUAGCCAUAGGGGUAGGUCUUCAUCUCUCAACUCCUCUACCCCUUGGUAAGUCCAAUUAAAUUCUCAUAGGUCUAACAUGGUCAAACAAGCUUUGACAAAAAAAUUUAAUAAUUUUUGAAAUCAGAAACUAUUUAAAAACAAUUAAAAAUGAUGAAAAAUAACACAAUAUGCAUUAAAAUCUCAAAUCAAAUAAGAAAUUGAUGAAAUUAUCUUUCAUUGACUUAUCAUGAUCCAUAUGUGUUAAGAAAAUAUUUUUGGAUUUUUUAAAUAUCAAAAAGUAUUUUAAAAUGAAUUAAAACUAUUAAAAAACAAAUAAUUCACAAAAAAUAUUAAAUGAAGUCACAAAAAAAAUUAAAAAUCAAAAUAUGAAACUAGAUUUUUCAAAAAAAAAAUUGGCAUUGGUCUCAUAUUUUUGUGACUUCAAAUAAAAUAUUUAUGAAUUUUUUGAAAAUCAAAGGAAUUAAAUGGAAUUUACAGAAAAUAAGAAAAUAGCAAAAAUGCGCAGCCACAUGAUCAUUUCAUUAAUUGACAUGGCAAUGAUCCUAGGGCUCAGAGGCGCGGUCACACGAAACACCUUGGCCAAACGCGCUACACUUUGAUUUAAAAUAGGUCAAUACAAUGAAAGGCCAAGAUUAUAACAUUUCAUCAUGAUCCAAUGGACCUGAAGGCUUCCACGUGGGGAUGGUGGUGGAAACCACCAUAUUAUCCGGCGAUCUAACCAGAUCCGGCCACCACGCGCGGGAAAUCAAACCUCAAUGAAAAUGAAAAAGGAAGGUAUCAAAAUGAAGCUGAGGUGAUGUACAUCACCCAUGUAACCAUGGAUCAUCCUCAUAGUUCCUAUUUAGUGAGAAACGUGAGCUUGAAGAUCAUGGUACAUGAACUGAAAUGGCACGAUUUGCAAAAUUAAGACCACCACUGGCCUGUCUCAUGCAUGAGGGCUUCAGAAAACAACACAAACCAAAGAGAUUCACAUUAUAUAGCAAGAUCUAGAUCAAGAAAGUUUGGUGAUAUACCUUUGAAAUGGAGCUUCAAACAACACGAAUUGUCCAAGCUCUUGAUCCAAUUUUAAUCUUCAAGAAAGUUUGGUUUUCAAUUCAGCAUCACUUCAGAUCUCCACUUCGUUCCCAUUUGAAUAAGAUUGCACUUCUAUUUAUAGCUGGAAUGUGAUGCAAGGCAAUGCUUGGCUCGUGUGCAUGAAGUAUGAACUCUCCUUGCAUGGGCCUGUACAGGUGCAUGUAAGGCCCAAUAAUGAAUGUAAAUCCAUGCUGAGAUCAAACGUAAGUGAAUUGGACGUGCACAAGGCCUGGCAUUUGCUUGCACAUGAAGUUAUAAUGUGAAUUACAAAAAUGAACAUAAACAUUAAGCUCUUUGAAACUCACUCAUGGAAAGUCCAAAGAAUUAAUGUGAGUAAUGGUUGGAAAGCCCUUGAAAUAAGGAACGAAAGUCAUGUUGGGAAAAAAUUCAUUUGGCAAUUAGAAUUUUAUGAAAACUGGCUGUAAAGGUUUGGGUACAAAACAUGUCUAGGUUCCCUUUGAAAUUUUUUACCAAAAGCAAGCAUCUUCAAGCCCUUCUGUUUCAAUGAUACAAGCCUCAAAUGGAAAAACCUCCAACAUAAAAGUUGUAUAUAUCUUCAAUAUGGGAAAUUUAGACUUAAAUUUUGCAUCAUUUGGAUUUUUCAUGAGAAAAUUAUGGGCACUUGAAGUUAGACAUUUUUCAAAUUCAAUAGCUUAGGUCCAAAGUGACCUAUAAUGUUUUGUAUUAUCACAUGUAUUUAUUUUUGGAUUAUGAAAUUUUGUCAAACAUAACAUUUGAAUUAGUCAUCUUAAGCUUUCCAAUUAAAUUGGUCUCACUUCUAAAUCAUAAAAAUUAAAGAAGUUAGGUCCUUGGGAAGUUGACCCAAAAUUAGGGUUUUAGUCAAAAUGACCUAUAAUGUUUUGAAAUUAAUGAUGACCUUCCAAGUUUCAAAUGUAUUUUUUAUUAACAUAAACGUUGUUAAUAUGGUUCUUAAGAACAUUUUUUCUCUUGGGGUCAUCUUAAUUUGACAAACACAUCAAAAGUUGUAUCUCAGUGAUCCUCAGUUUAGUCAGAUGACUUGACUGGUCAACUUCUCAAGGCCAAACUUCAAAUCUUGAUGAAUGAAUGAUUGAGGAUACUCAAAUAAGCCCAUAUAUGCAUAUAAUAGUAAAUUAAAGAACUUCCCUUGAUUAAAUUUCAUCAUAGGUUGAGGUUGCUUCAUGAGCAAGGCACAGUCAAAGCACAGUUGAAUUAGGGUUUCCUUGGGAACAAACCUCAAGCCCUUUGGGUUAUCUUGAUCAAAUUGGAAAAUUGAGAUGCUUGGGAGACAUAUAUGAUUAUUAGGAGAUUUGUGAACCAUUGUCAUUCCUUUUCUCAUCUUCAUCUAGCCACUUCAUUGAGCUUAAGAGCCUCCUAGGAGCAUAGGAGCACAUGAUCACUUGAGCUUCAAAACAAAAAGGGUUAGUGACAUAUUUUUGUGCUUUUGGUUAGUAAACAAAAUAAGAAAAGCAACAAUAUACAAUACAAGCAUGCUUGGUGGUCUCAAGCCAACCACACAAGUCCCACCCCUAGGGUUAAGGAGCCACACAUGCUAUGAUCUUGAGGCAAUGCAUUGAGCAAAUGAUAUGAUGCCAUGAGGGAUCUUAGGGUCAAAAUUAGGGUCUUACACUAACAGGUAUUUCCAGAAUUUAUCAAAUGCAUAAAACACUACUAACAACUCCUUCUCUGUAGUUGCAUAGUUCAUCUGCACAGGGUUCAGCACAUGACUAGCAUAGUAAAUAACAUGUAAGAGCUUCUUUCUCCGCUGUCCUAGAACUGCCCCUACAGCAAUAUCACUAGCAUCCCACAUGAUCUCAAAUGGGAGAGACCAAUCUGGGGCAAUUACAAUUGGUGUCGAUGCUAAUUUGUUUUUCAAUGUCUCAAAAGUUGUGGUACAUUCUUCAUCGAACAAAAGCCUCAUCCUUAACCAAUAGAGUGGUCACUGGUUUGGCUAUUUUGGAGAAAUCUCUUAUGAACUUGUGGUAAAAACCCGCAUGUCCUAAGAAACUCCUUAUACCUUUUUCGUUAACUGGAGGCGGAAGUUUAGAUAUCACCUUUACUUUUUCUUGGUCGACUUCAAUUCCCUUGUAGGAAAUUUUGUGACCCAAGACUAUUCCUUCAUGAAAUGAAACUUCUCCCAGUUCAAAAUCAAAUUUUUUUGUUGGCACCUGUCUAAAACAAGAGAAAGGUUAGUUAAAAAGUUAUCAAACGAAGAUCCAAAGACCGAAAAGUCAUCCAUGAACACUUCCAUAUGCUUUUCAAGCAUGCCAACAAAGAUGGAAGUCAUGCAACGUUGGAAGGUGGCUGGAGCAUUACGCAACCCGAAUGGAAUUCUUCUAUAAGAAAAUACACCAUAAGGGAAUGCGAAUGUCGUCUUCUCUUGGUCUUCUAGAGCAAUAACAAUCUGAUUAUAUCCGGAGUAUCCAUCUAGAAAAUAGUAGUAAUCAUGUUCAGCUAGCCUUUUCAUCAUUUGAUCAAUGAAUGGCAAAGGGAAGUGGUAUCUCCUGGUCGCAAUGUUUAACCUCCUGUAGUCAAUACGCACUCGCCAACCUGUAACUGUCCUUGUAGGGAUUAACUCAUUCUUCUCGUUUCUAAUGACGGUGGUCCCCCCCUUUUUGGGGACCAUAUGAACCAGACUCACCCAUGAGCUGUCAGAUAUAGGGUAGAUAAGACUAGCGUCUAACAACUUCACCACUUAUUUCCGAACCACUUCUUUCAUUGUUGGGUUAAGUCUCCUUUGGGGAUGGACCACAAGUUUGUGAUCGUCUUCCAUGAGAAUUUUAUGCAUGCACACUAUAGGGCUAAUACCUUUCAAAUUCUCAAUUUUCCAUCCGAUAACAUUCUUGUAUUUUUUUAGGACUUGGAUGAGUUUCUCUUCUUGGAUACUCUUGAGGCUCGAAUUUAUUAUAGUCGGGCAUUGACCUUCAGAAUCGAGGAAGACAUAUUUGAGAUUCUCGGGAAGUUGUUUCAACUCCGUCCCCUUCUUGGAUUCAUUAUUCUCCUCACAUGAUUGAGGUAGUCAUAAAUCUUCCCACCGGUGUGGUCGAGAUCCUUUCCAAGGGGAUUGUGGGUUCAUCAUGGCUAGCACUUCUAAUUCUCUGUUGUCCACUUCUUUAUCACAGUCAAAAAUGGACAAGCUCAACACUCUUUCCAAAGGUAAUUGCGGUGCAUUCAAAGGACUAUCAUAAGCAAUCACUUGAUCUAGAACCUCUAUGGUAUAACUAGUGCCAAUAUCAUCCUUGUACUUCAUGGUGUUUCGAACAUCAAUUUUUAAUUCCUCAUCAUAAACCAUCAAAGUCAUAGUACCUUCCUCUAUGUUGAUCAAACAUCUUCCAAUCUCUAAAAAGGGUCUCCCAAGAAUGAGAGGAAUCUCCUCAUCCUCAGGCAUUUCUAAAAUCACGAAAUCCACCGGGAAUACAAACUUGUCAAUCUUCACUAGAACAUCUUCAACUAUCCCAGAAGGUUUCUUAACCGAAUCAUCGGUAAAUUAAAGUGUCAUCAUGGUAUCUUGCACAACCCCUAUACCCAGUUUCUUGUAAAUGGAUAACGAAUGAGACUCACACUGGCUCCUAAAUUAAUAAGAGCUUUUUUGAAUGACCUAUCUCUAAUGGUGCAAGGGAUAGUGACAGAUCCUCGAUCCUUCUUCUUUAUUGGAAAUUUCAUACCUACAAAAUAGCACUACAAGUUUCGGUUAGAAUAACCGGGUUGGUGUCAAUGGUUCGCCUCUUAGAAAUGAUGUCCUUCAUGAACUUGGCAUAGGUAGGAAUUUGUUCAAGUGCUUCCAAAAGUGGAAUGCUAAUUUCUAGCUUCUUGAACAACUCUAGGAAUUUCUCAUGAUGCCCCUUUUUCUUGUUUCUGGUGGGAAAGGGAAGCUUAAUGACCGGUUUUGGUUCAAUGACUUUUUCUUUCACCACUUGUUUAGGUGCAACCAGUUCUUCCCUCACAGCUUCAUUUUCCUUGAUCUCAAGAUCUACUUCAAGCAAUUGAUCUUCAUCUUCAGCUUUCUCCUCAAGGACUUCAUGAGAUUUACCACUUCUUGUUGUCACAACACUAACAUUAUUAUACUCUCUAGGAUUUGUCACAGUUGCACUUGGUAGAGCACCUUGUGCUUGAGAACUCGAGGCUAAUUGUUGUGCUAUCUGACCCAUCUGAACUUCAAGAUUUUUUAUGGAAGCGGUAGUGUUUUUCUGAUUGUUUCUAGUUUCUUCUUGGAAUUGAACAUUAUGAGUUUCCAUUCUUUCAAUAGAAAUCUCCCAAUCUACUUUCUUAGGGGCUUGUUGUUGCUGUUGUUGUUGAUAUUGACCUUGACCUUGUUGAGGAACUUUCCCUUUCUAAUCUUUCCAUGAGAAGUUAGGAUGAUUCUUCCAACCAGGAUUGUACGUGUUGGAAUAGGGAUUAUUCUGCUUUAAAAAUUUUAUUUCCUCAACUUGUGGAGGAGUUGCAAAAUAGUACGCUGUUUGGUGCAGUUCAUUACAAAUCUCACAACAGACGAGAGGAGCUGGUUGGACUUGAGCUACCUCUUAGGUACCUAUAUUCAUCGCUUUCAGCUUCUUUUCGUCUUCGGCAACGAUAAUAUCUUCUAUACGGAUUCUAUUAGUUUCUAGCUUCAGAUUGAUAACUCCUUCAAGUUUACUUAUACAUCUGUCGUACAACUCCAAGUGCUCAUUAGCAGCAACUGCUUCAAUGAUCUUUUUGAUACCAGUGGCCGUUGAGAAAUUAGUUGAGCCACCGAUUGCGGUAUCAAUCAAAUGUUUGGUCUUUAUUUUGAUACCAUUUACAAACAUCUGCAUCUGUUUUGUUGGAUCCAUAUUAUGAGUUGGGUAAGCUACUAGGACCCUUUUGAAUCUCUUGUAGGCAUCUCCCAAAUAUUCACCCUCUUUCUGCUUAAAGUUCAGUAUUUCAUAUCUUUUUUUCAGAAACACCAAUGCUGGAAAAUACUCAUUCAGGAAAGCCUUUUCCAUCUCUUCCCAUGAUGUAAUACUAUCGGACGGGAGAGAAUAGAACCAUUCUUCAGCUUCUUCCGCCAAGGUGAAUGGGGACAUUCUUAACUUAUUUUCUUCCUCCGUGUGACCAUCAAUUUUAGACUGUUACUCAUGGUCAGAAAUCUCUGCAAAUGCUUGUUUGCAUCUUCAUUUACCUUUCUAGUGAAAUGAUUUCUUUCAAGUUGAUUAAUAGUACUUGGAUGUAGCUGAAAAUUAGCCACAUUCACCGGUUGGUUAACAAUUGUUAAUCUUCUGGUUGGUGCAUUUGCGCCUCCGUAGUCACCCAACAGUCUUUCUGGUGGUGGUGGGUUCUCCCCCAUUACUUCGAUCUCUCUCUCUCUCUCUGAACCUGAAUCUGAACCUAAAUGAAUGGAAAGUUGUUCUUCUUAUGAUUCUAGUCUUGCUAAUCUAGCUUGUCUGAGUCUUGCAUGCAAAGUUCUUUCGAUUUCUGCGUCAAAAGGAAAAUCAGUUGAAGCCUUACCUCGCAUACAAAUAUCAGACACAAAUUAGUUGAUAAUGAUCGGAAUAAAUAACUAAAAGAACAGAGAAAAAUCUUAGUUGCAGAGCAACAAAAUUUCAAUUGAACUAAAUUUAAACUUUAUAUUUGGCAAUCCCCGACAACGGCGCCAAAAACUUGAUCGGUAAAAUAGAAAGUGUACUAUUUUGCCAAUGUAGUAAUAAUAGGGAAGUUUCCCAAAUAUCGAUCUCGAGGACUGCGCAGUAAUAUUAGUUUAAAUCGUGUGGUUCAAUUCAACAAGAUAGGAGUUUUAAGGUUUGGAAUAAAUUCGCACUAAUAUUGACUUAAGCAGAAUGCAAAAUAUAACUUUUACACAAAUAUGAAAAUUAUGCCAAGGUACGGUGUGUGGUUAUUUCCUGCAAUGACCUUGAAUGUAACUCUCCUCAACCAUUUCAAAUAUUUAAUUACCGGAUCUUAAAAUUGUUUCCUCCUAAAACCUUAGAGGGAAACCUUUGGUUAUUCAUUCUAAAACCUAAGUCCUUAGGGAAAUAUGAAGAAACCAAGCUUUUUGAAAUAACAAGAUAUAACCAGUAACCAUAGGGUAUCCUUAGUCCCAGGUGAUAUCUACUAUAGUUUAAUUGUGCAAAAAACCUAACAAUUGCAAUCCCGCAAAUUGCUAACCAUAUAACAAUCCUUAUUUUUCUGAUAAUGAAAGCAUUAACAACAUUGCACAGUUAAAUUGAAUAAUAAACAUAACAUUGAGGGAAUUAACAAUUCAAAGUUAUUACAUGAUCAAAUCAGGGACACCCCCUUGGCAUUGGGGGGUUUAGCCGCUCAUAUUAAUCAAAGAAAAUACAAUAUUUAAAUUAGACAUUACAAUAAAUGGGGAUUUCGUUGAUCUUCAAUCGUGUUCACUCUUGAAGGACCUCCGUUCUCCGAAACUCUUGAUCGUACCAAUCUCAAUCGUCUCAAUCUUUCGCGUGCAAAAAGUCCCCUUUCUUUUCCUCAAAAAGUACCCUAAGUAGUCAAUGAUCAAUUAAUCGAUGUAGCAAAUACCCAAAACACCCUCUGAGGUCAACAAUUCUAAAAAUCCAAUAAAAUUAGAAGAUGAGGCGUCUAAGCUAACACUGAUCGUGUCAGGAAACACGGCCGGCCGUGUUGGCUUACUGCUUCUGGUUUCCAAAAUGCCCAAGCCAAACUUGCUGACACGGGUCGUGUCAACUAACACGGGCAGCCGUGCCAACCCACUGUUUUUCUCCUUAUCCUCCUCUUUUAUCCUUCCCCUUACACGGGCCAUGUCAGGUAACACGGGUGGCCGUAUCAGGGCCACUGUAUCUUCAAAACUUCUUCCCCAUGAACCCGGAAUGCCCGAUUCCCUUGGCGAGUCUUUGGGCAUUCUUGCUUGUACCUGAAAACCAACAGAACUACCAAAAGAAAGCAUAAAAUGUAGUACAUUGACGAAAACCAAAGAUAAUAACCAAACGCGAACGAAAAUGUAAACAUCCAAUUUGCUUGACAAAAUAAAUAAAAAAGUAAAACAAAGUGUUACCGACUUCGUGAAAUAAUGUCGAGUGAGUGUCAGAAAACUAGUAGAAGUGGUGACCGAUCAAAAGGCCAUGGAUACGUUAGAACAUUUAAAGGCACGGGAAGAAUAUGCACUUUAUCAGCAUAGAUUUGGUAUUUAUGACAUGAUUUGGCGUGAAGAUGGCAGUCAGUCUCCAUAGUCAUCCAAUAACUGCCUGCUCUCAAAAUCCUUUUCACUAUGGUGUGACCACUAGAGUGUGUUCCAAACGCACCCUCAUGGAUUUAUUCAAUUGGUUUUGUCUGCUUCGUGUUUUUUGGUCAGGGAUAGUUGCGUCCUCCGAGUAUUCUUGUUUUUCCAGGUAUCUUUUGAUAUCAUAGAACCAUUUCUUAUCAUCCCAAACUUUAUCAUUAUUAUAACAAAAAGUCGGCUCAUCCAAUCUCAUAAUGUUGAUGGAAGGGGCUUCAUUUGCCCAUUUGACUUUGAACAUUGACGCUAGAGUUGCUAGCGCGUCUGCUAAAUGAAUCUCUUCCCUUGGGAUAUGGUUGAAUGUGAUCUCUUUAAAGUAUGGAAUUAAUUUCAUCACAUAUUCUCGGUAUGGAAUUAAAUUUGGAUGACGAGUCUCCCAAUCUCCAUUAAUUUGGCUAAUGACCAAGGCAGAAUCCCCAUAUACCUCAAGAUGCUUGAUCCUUAAGUCAAUAGCAGCUUCAAUCCCAUAGAUGCAAGCUUCAUAUUCGGCCAUAUUAUUUGUGCAAUAAAAAUAGAUUCUGACGGUGAAAGGAAUGUGAAAACCAGUGGGAGAAUUAAUGACAACUCCCACACCAUUUCCUAAAGCAUUUGAAGCACCGUCGAACAUGAGCGUCCAUCGCGGUCCUGGUUCUGGACCUUCAUCUGGGUCUGGUCGGUUGUAAUAUUCGUUGAGAAACAAAACGUCUUCAUCGGGAAAAUAAAAUUUCAUCGGCUGGUAAUCCUCCACAGGCUGAUGAGCUAGGUAAUCAGCAAUUAUACUACUCUUGAUGGCCUUCUGAGUUGUAUACUAGAUACCAUAUUCCGUUAAAUUCAUUUGCCAACGGGAAACCCUCUCUGUGAGAGUAGGCUUCUCAAAGAUAUAUUUGAUUGGGUCCAUCUUCUAAAUCAAAAGAGUAGUGUGGGUAUACUUUCUGAAAUAUAAGUAUGAUGUAUUUAAGGCUUUUAAGGUGUGGAAAGCGAUGGUAGAAAACGAGAUCGGAUUGAAGAUCAAAAAGCUCCGAACUAACAAUGGUGGUGAAUAUGUAGACACCAAGUUCGAGAAUUUAUACUAUGAUCAUAGAAUUAGAAUUGAGAGGAUUGUGUCGGGGACGCCUCAACAAAAUGGUGUAGUUGAACGUAUGAAUCGAACGUUGACUGAGAGAGACAGAAGCUUAUGUGUGCAGUCAAGCUUACCGAAGCAGUUCUGGGUAGAGGCAGUCAACACAUCAGCUUACUUAAUCAACCAAGGUCCAUCGGUACCAUUGGAGCUUAGAAUACCAUAAGAGGUAUGAAGCAGAAAAGAGGUAAAACUCUCGCAUCUUAGAGUUUUUGGUUGUGUAGCAUAUGUUCACAUUAGUGAUCAUGGUAGGAAUAAGCUUGAUCCCAAAUCAAAGAUGUGCACUUUCCUCGAUUAUGGUGAGGAUGAGUUGAGUUAUCGCCUAUGGGAUGAUGAAAACAAAAAGAUGAUCCGUAGUAGAGAUAUGAUCUUCAAUGAAAGAGUAAUGUACAAGGACAAACAAAAUACAGGUGCCAACAACUUAGAUUCGAGUGGGCCAGUUUAUGCAGAAGUGGACGAUGUCCUAAAAAGUCCUAUAGUUGAUAAUCCUCAGCUAGAGGAAACAACUGAACAAGGCAGUGAGCAUCAACCUGACAUAUUAGAGCCCCCGACUUCAAACUCAUGUAUUGAGAAGGUCUUUUAGAACUCGUGUUCCUAACAAGAGAUACAUGGACUACAUGUUAUUGAUAGAUGAAUGGGAGCCUGAAGAUUAUGUAGAAGCAUGUUAGACCGCAGAUGCUAGCAAGUGGGAACUUGCUAUGAAAGACGAGACGAAGUCUUUGAUCUCCAAUCAGACAUGGGAACUUGCUGAGUUACCUAUAGGAAAAAGGACACUUCACAAAAAAUGGUUGUAUAGGGUGAAGGAGGAACAUGAUGGCUCCAAGAGAUACAAGGCUCGACUAGUUGUCAAGGGAUUUCAGCAAAAAGAAGGAGUUGACUACACUGAAAUCUUUGCUCCAGUUGUGAAGCUCAAUACUAUCAGGUAUGUGUUAAGUAUUGUUGCCAGGGAAGAGCUCUACCUAGAACAGUUGGAUGUGAAGACCACGUUUCUCCAUGAAGACUUAGAUGAGGAGAUAUACAUGCAUCAACCAGAAGGUUUCUCAAAAGAAGGGAAACAGAAAAUGAUGCGCAGAUUAAAGAAGAGCUUGUAUGGUCUAAAAUAAGCUCCAAGAUAGUGGUAUAGGAUGUUUGAAAGCCUAAUGCACAAGGAAGGUUUCCAAAAGUGCAAUGUCGACCACUGUUGUUUCUUCAAGAGAUAUAAUUCAAGUCAUAUCAUUUUAUUACUUUAUAUCGAUGAUAUGUUACUAGCAGGUCUAGAUAAUGAUGAAAUCAGAAACUUGAAGAUGCAAUUGUCAAAAGAAUUUGACAUGAAGGACAUGGGUCCAGCAAAGAAGAUUCUUAGAAUGAAAAUCACGAGAGAUAAGCAAAGAGGAUUUUUGCAGUUAUCUCAGGCAGAGUACAUCAAUCGUGGUUUGCAAAGAUUCAACAUGGACAAUGCCAAACCAAUUAGCAAACCUUUAGCUAUUCAUUUUUGCUUAUCAAAGGACCAGACCCCAGAGACAGAGGAAGAAAAAGAAUUGAUGGCUAAGAUUCUUUAUGCUUCGGCCAUUGGAAGUUUGAUGUACGCGAUGGUAGGCACGAGGCCAGAUAUUAGCCAUGCAGCGGGAGUUGUAAGCAGGUUUAUGUCAAAUCCAGGUAAAGCUCAUUGGGAAGCUAUGAAAUGGAUUAUGAGGUAUCUACGAGACACUAAGGAGAAGUGUGUGUGCUUUAGUAAAGGUGAAUUGAAAGUACAAGGCUAUGUAGAUGCGGACUUUGCUGGUGAAGUUGAUCACCGAAGAAGCACCACCAGUUACAUAUUUAUUGUUGGUGCUACAACUGUUAGUUGGAUGUCGAGGAUACAAAAGAUCGUUGCUCUAUCCAGUACAGAGGCUGACUGAGUAUGUAGCAGUAACAAGUAACAGAAGCUAGCAAAGAGUUGAUAUGACUUCAAGGAUUGUUGAUAGAGUUGGAAUUCAUUCAAGAGAGGAAUGUUUUACACAACGACAGUCAUAAUGCAAUACAUCUAGCUAAGAAUUCAGCUUUUCACUCUAGAACGAAGCACAUUGAUCUCCGUUAUCACUUCAUUAAAACUCUGCUUGAGGAUGAGAUAAUAACGUUGAGUAAGAUUCUCGGAAGUAAAAACCCAACAGACAUGUUGACAAAAGUGGUGACUAUUGAUAAACUGAAUUUGUGCUCAACUCCAGUUGGCCAGCUAGAAUAACAUACCAGAGAAGGUUGCUGCAUGAUCGAGGUGUGAAGACCGGCUGAAGUCAAUCUUUAAGUGGGAGAUUGUUGAAAAAGUCAGUGUUUUCUUAUUAUUUGGAUGAUCAUUGUUUUCUUAUUAUUUAGAAGUAAAUGGAAGAUGUUUCUACUUUAUAGGAAUUGUAAUGAAUGAGUUACCGAUGAUGCAUCCAAUGCUUUGGCUAUAAAACAUGUCAAAGCCAAAAUAAUAUUAAUUACAACAUUAAGAGCAUUUUCAAUAACUAGAAAAAUACAUUAGUAAGAGAAAUCUGCAUCAGUAAGAGAAAUUUGCAGCAGUAAGAGAAAUCUACAUCAGUCCGUAUUUUUUAUUUACUGGAGUGAGAAAACUUCUUAAAUAUAAUAUGUAUUUUAUCUUUCCAAUAAAUAAAAAAUCUCCAUCCAUCAAUCCGUAUCAAUUUCUAUGUGUUAUUAUUCCGUAUUUAUAUCACUAUUCCACGAAUCUGACUAUAAGAAAAUGUUCCUAUUUUCCAAACAUCUAAUUCAAUAUCUCCUGACAAAAAAAUCACCAUAUCAUUUGUAUAAUAAUUUAUUACUAAUAUAUUUCAAUUUGUGUGUGGCGUAAAAGAAUUGUAUUUCUAUCUCUAUCCUAAAAUCAAUGAUUCUUGACUUUUUUUCAUUCAAAAUGGUCAUGCAUAUAAUGCCCUAUCUAAGAAAAAGAGUAUUUUUUUUAUCUCAAAUCAAAUAUCAUCGUUGUUACCUUCAUCAUUAAUUAAACUUUUUAUUAUAUUAGCUUGUUACUUGAGUGACUUUAAAUUAUUUUAAUUAUAGUUCGUAAUAAUUAUCAACUUGUUUUAUAAGGGUCGAAUAUGUACCCAACAGUCCCUAUUUAUUUUUCAUAUUUUUGAAUGGAUCCCUAUACUUUCAAAUUGUAAAAGUUAUAAAAGUUAUCUGAAAUUUAAGAAUGAAGCGUUUUAUUCUCUAUCCACAAAAAUAUAGAAUUCAAUUAUAAUAUUUGAAUGACCUAGAACCUUAAUUUUUCAAAAUUUUCUAAUUACCCCAUAUAAACACACUUUUAGUUUAUUAGACGUAGGGAUAUUAGUUAAUUAGUACUAAAAGAUAACAAUUUUAUAUCUGAAUAACCAUUUUAUGAUGCAUGAUUAAUAAAACUUAACAUUUUACACGAUAAAAUUUUAAUUUUAAAUUAAAUACAAUAUAACUAAUAUAACAACAAUAGUAUUUUCUUUUAAUGUUUAAGCAAAUAAAAUAAAUCUAGGGGUAAAAUGAAUCUAACACAUCAGAUAUAUCCAUUUUUUCCGCAUUUUUUUUAUAGGAUAGAUUAAAAUUUUAGACAAUCAGUCUCUAGUAUGUUCCCCUAUCCUAUUCUUUUAGAAUUUUUACGAGAACAAAUAUUUAUAUAAAUUUUUAUAUUUUUAAAUUAAAGAAAUAUAGUAUCUGCAGAAGCUUCACUCUUAUUUUUUUUAUAAAAUGAACCAAAAUUUUAGGUCAUACUCACAACUAUGUCCCAUUUUUUUUUCUUUAUUUUUUACUUUUGCAUAGUGUAAUGGGCAUAUAUAAUCAAUUGCCACUCUUAACCUUUUCACUUCUUUAUAUUUAAGAUGUAUGAGUCUCACAACUAUAUUAUAAACCUGUUGAAGUAAUAAUCUACAAGAAAUUUCGUUUAUGUUGUUUUGAACUUGUAACAAAUAAUUAUUUUUCUUAAUGUAAUAAAAUAUAUAUUAAUAGCAUACAAAACUAACAUCAAGGACUAGUUAUUUUAGACUCUUUUCUUUAAAUAUUAGAUGCAUUUCUAAUCUGAAAGUCAUGUGUUAUAAAGUUUCAACAAAUUUGUUAUAUUGAAACAUAUUCAAUAGUUUAAAUCAAAGACUUAUUAAUGCAAUUUUCUUUAAUCAAUUAUUCAAGUUUAAAAAAUAUUUACAACCUUUACAACUUUGACCUUUUUAAAAAUAUACUCAUUAUUUUAGUAAAUAUUGAAAUAAUCGAUAUGAUCUUUAAGAGUUUAAUAUAGCAAAAGAAGCUAACCUGUCACAAUAGUGACUAGACUAAUGGUUGAAUUCUAUUUGUGUAUCUAACUUAAUUGAAACUUUUAAUAUGUUGUAACAAAGUUUUAAAGAAUGUGAUUGUCACUCCGGAUGUUCAUGGCUCGGGAGGUUGAACUCAUAAUAACUCGUAUAAUUUUGAUUUGGAUAUCAAAUUUGAGUUUUAUAAUUUAUGCAUAUGUUAAUUCAACUAAUUGAAAUGACUUUAAGAAUUUCUUAUCAAUUUUAUUAUUAUUUUAAAUAAAAAAUAUAUAAUUAAUAUCUCAUUACUAAUUAUAAUUUUAAAAAAAAAUAAUUUUCACCAACAAUUACUAGACCAAUGAGUUUACGUAAGUUUAGGAUUAAAAGUUUUUUUUAUAUUUUUUUUAUAUUAUUUCAAAUUAUGGAUUUUAUUGAUAAUGUGUCUAGUUGAAUUUUAUAAUAUUAUCAAAUGUUAUAUCGUAUUGAUGAAUUUUAUUAGAUAUUAUAUUAUAUGUUUAAUUAAAUUUAAAUGUUAUAAAUGAGUAUAAUUGUAUAGAUUGUGUAACAUUUUUAAAUCGACAAAAAAAUCAUAAUUUUUUUUAUUUGAAAUAAAUUUGCGAACCCAAUUCAAUCAAACUCAUAAACGAACGAGUCAGUUUUGGCAAUAAAAUUGCAAAUUAGAUAAAAAAAUUAAUUCAUUAAAAUUUGAACUGGUGGGAUAAUCGGUCAAUCCAAACCCGGUCUAACCCAACCCAUAUACACCCCUAAUUAUCACUACUAAAUUAAUUAAAAUAAAAUAAAAUAUUUUUUUAAUAAUAAUAAUAAUGAAAGUUCACUAGUACAUUUAUACAUAUGGAACAUUUAUUAUUGAUAGCACUUUUCAUGCAUCAAGGAACUCAUUAAUUUUUUCUAUUCAAUUUCAUUAUUAUUUAUUCAAUAGUGAGAAGUGGACAAAAGAGUAUUGUCAGAUAUUAAAGUUUUUAUCUUUCUAAAGAGUAAAGGAAUAAGAAAAAGGUUAAAAAAGGGUAAAACUAAGAGAAGGGUGAUAUAGUCAUUUCCCAAGGAAGUGUCAUUCAUAACUACAGAGUCAUGAAAAAACAUAGAAUCAUGUUAUUCCCUCAUUUUUACCCCUUCAAACUUUUUCCUGUCUCCAUCCAAACCUACUGUCCAACUUUUCUUUCCUAUUUCCUUCAAAGCCUAACCCUUCUCUCUCUCUCUCCAUCUAUCUCUCAAAAACACCAAGAAUGAAGAAUAUUAAUAUAACCACUAACAAAUGAUGAUGAUGAAACAAGUUUGAGUUUGCUUCACCAUUUUAAGGAAAAAAACUUCUCGGAAAUCAAAGCUACUAUAAAAACCAUAUCUAUAGAUAUAUACAUAUAUACAUAUAGCUUUGAAAAUCUAUCCAAUUAUAUUGUUGAAUGAACACUUCACAACUUCACAGUACUAAUCCCAUCAAUCUCAUCACAUUCACAAUCUCAAAAAAAUUCUUCUUCUUGCUUCAUCAUUUUCAGGUAAAAAUUUCUCUAUCCUAAAAUAAACAAAAUCUAUAUCCAUUAACCCUUUCACUCUUAUCUCAGGAACCCUAGAACAACAAUCAAAGAGAUAAAUUCACAACAAUUAACCUUGGAUCUGCAAUGGAUUCAAUUCAACAAUUUAUACAAACAUGUAACAAUGAAAACACCUGCAACUUCAUGAAUACAAUAAGCAGCAGCAGCAACAACAACACAACAAGCUUAACAACAACAACAACAACAACAACCACAGCAAGUGGAAGCUCUUCUUCAUCUGCAGCUUCAACCAUAACCAACACACCGAACAGUAGCAGCCGGUAUGAGAAUCAGAAACGCCGUGACUGGAACACUUUUGGUCAGUACCUCAAGAAUCACCGUCCUCCACUUUCU
Molecule: long non-coding RNA, 58621 nt
Filed under: Lathyrus oleraceus (garden pea)
Lineage: Eukaryota; Viridiplantae; Streptophyta; Magnoliopsida; Fabales; Fabaceae
Description: Pisum sativum (pea) long non-coding RNA (PSAT_LNC009335)
Source: RNAcentral